UGACUUUAUCUUAGGUAACACGGGUGGGCAGGAGAACACUUUGCAAAAUGCGCUUUGACAGUGAGCGAGAUCUCUGAAAUUCAAUCCGAACAAUACUGAGUUUUUCUAUCGGUUGAAAAGUCGAUCAUUUUGCCAUGUUUUUAAUAAUGUUUUUUGGUAGCCAUCGUUGGUUUUUAAGUUCAUCUGUUAGUUGGAUCAAAUGUGCUUUCCUUUAGUAAACUUAAGGGACUAAAAAUGCUCAAGGUCAUAUUUACAAGACCAAAAUUGACCUACUUUCUAUAAAUAAAGGACAAUUUUGGCUAAAAACUUCAGCAAUUAACGCUAAACAAAUUCAAUAGUAUAACACCUAAUAACGUUUGAAUGUUAAUUUCCCGCCACUCCUUUUUCUUACAUAUGGAUUCUCAUUCAAUAUUGUUUAAUACUAAGAUUUUGAGUUUAAAGAAAAUAAAUAAUUGUUUUUGUAGAAAAAGCAUAUUUUUUAGUAGAUGUGUUGUAAAUUUUAAUUAAUCGAAUAAGUAAAUUUCAAACAAUUGUUAACUUGAAAAAAAAAUUAAUGCAAUUGAAAUUACAAUAGCCUCACAUUCUUAUACCCAAUUGAACUUAUAUUAGUUCCUUCGUCUCAUAUUAAUUAUCAAUAUUAUUUCAAGAUAUUUUUUUUGUUCAUUUUUACAUGUUCAUUAUAUUAAAAAUAAAAUUUUAUUUUUACUUAUUUAAUUUAAUAAAUCAAAAGAUGAUAUAUCAAUUAAUUCUUAAUUUAUCCUUAUUAUUAACCAUAUCUAUUCAAUAUAUUUUCUAUAAUAUUGAAUUUAUUAUAUUUAAAAGGUGAUGUGUAAACUAUCAUUCUAUUUAUUGCUAUUUAAGGUGUGUUUAAGUCAAUAUCCGACAAAUAUAAAAGAAAGACGGGAGAACUAGUAAAAAAAAUAUAUAACAUAUGACGGAGAAAAUAAUAUUUUUAAUUUACGAAGGUAUAAUAGAAAUUAUGACAAUUAAUAUAUGAUGAAGAGCAUAACAAUUUUCUUAUUUAUGAAUGUUUGAAACAAAUUAUGACAAGUAAUAUAUAACGCGAACACAAUAUCUUUUUUAUUUAUAAAGGUAUGAAAUGAAUUGCGAUAACUAAUAUAGGACGGAGAGAGUAACAUUUUUUUUUUUGAGAGACCAUAUGAUAAAUAAAUAAAUAGGUGAGAAUAUAAGUGUCCGAACAUGUCCUCCCUGUCCGAAUUUAUAGUAUUUCCAUUCUCACACAGAUUUGCCUCUUUGUUUAUCGUCUCUCUUCUCCACAAGCUUUUCCCUUUUCUCUCUCGCAUGUGAUAAAGCUGCUUCAUUCUGCUGCCGCUUCCCUUUUCACAUUUUCCCUUUUCUGCAGAUCUAAUUUCAAAGCUAAUCGAAACCGUGUAAGAAUUUCCGCCUUUUCUCUUCCAUUUCUUUUUAAUGCAUUGUUUUUUAUUUUCUUUAUCACCCAUCUCGUUGAUUUGUUGCCCUGUACUUUGUUUUUGUCUAUGUGUGUUAAAUUGAGAAAUGGGUUUUGAAUUUCUUUGAUUUUUGAAUUCUGGGUUUGUGUUUUUUCUUGAAUCUUUGUUGUAUAUAAUUUCUGUUUAUCAGAAUUCCAUCUUUGUAUCAUAAAGUUUUGUGGGGUUUGUUCAUUUUUUAUUUUUAUUUUUUCAGAGGGAAUUGAUCUGGGAUAAGCUUGUUUGGUGUUUGCGGAAUCUACAGAGUCUCAGCAAGGGGUUUCAUGUUCCGUUAUAGCUAAGUUUUGUUGAAGUAAUUCGGUUUUGGUGGAAUUUGAAUAUCCCAUGAUUUUAAAUGCAGAGGAAAAGCAACUUGGAUUGUGAUUUUAUGGUUUUCCUGCUAUAAAGUUCUUGCUUUGACCGGGAAAAGUAUCAUUACUUGUUGAUUCUUGGGUUUCUGUUGAUAAGGUUCUUGAAUUUGGAGUAUAUAUAUGUGUGGGAUGUUGGGUUUGUUCCUGUGCUGUUAAACAUUUGAAGAUCAUUAAUUUGAAGGGUUGGGGUUUUUUCUGUUUGGAUUUGGAGGGUUUGUAUGGAUAAGGAUAAGUUUUCUUCAAGCCAUGUAGGAGGUUCGUUGCCUCCAUCAGGGAGAUACUCAUUAUUUUCACCUCCUGGUAGUAGUUCCAAUGUAAAGUCAGAACAACCUGGAUUAGCAAAUUUACCUCCCUUAGGACCUGGAAAUGCUUCAGAAUCAGGUCAUUUUGGUCAUGGUGUGUCGGCAGAUUCAAGCCUGUUUAGUCUUGAUAUAAGCCGAAUGUCUGAUAACCCACCGAGAAAAUUUGGUCAUCGACGUGCCCACUCAGAAAUUCUUACUCUUCCUGAUGAUAUUAGCUUUGAUAGUGAUCUUGGUGUUGUUGGACUAGAUGGACCGUCUCUGUCAGACGAGACUGAGGAGGACAUCUUAUCAAUGUACCUUGACAUGGAUAAGUUCAAUUCUUCAACUCUGUCUUCUGAAUUCCAAGUGGGUGAGUCUUCUUCAGCAGCUCCAGGUUCAUCACAAACACCAGCAAUGGCUUCAGGAACAAAUAAAUUUCCUCCUACUGUUAGUGAGAAGCCAAGAGUUAGACAUCAGCAUAGCCAGUCCAUGGAUGGUUCAACUACAAUCAAGCCAGAGAUGCUCAUGUCAGGAGUGGAAGAUCCAUCUUCAGCUGAAACUAAGAAAGCCACGUCUGCUGCAAAGCUUGCUGAACUUGCUCUUAUUGAUCCUAAACGUGCCAAGCGGUAAGGCUUUCUACGGAAAUGUUGUUGCCCAUUUACUAUAGCAGUCUCUUUCACAUUAUUUUAGCUUGGCCUUGCUAUUGCAUUUUUCUAUACUAGUACUGCUUAGGAUGAAACCGUUACAUGGAGGUCUGGUGGCAGACUAGAGUGGCCCAAACUAUGAGCCCCCUAAAUGUGUUCUGGAUGUUUAAAACGGUCUUAGAUAUUAUGCUACAUUGUUGUUUUAUGAAAGCCUGCUCUGUUUUGAUGAUAAUCAUUCAUUCUACUGGUGGUUAGGCAUUUUAUCUGUGUUUUUCCUAGCUCCUAGCUCCUUGAACCUUUUGGUUUUUGUUUAAUGAAGCAGUUCUGUGAUUGAACACCUAAUGGUCUGCCUGCGGCUUCUUCUGUCAUCUUUUCCUGUUCAAAGGCUGCCUCUGGCUUCUUCUGUAAUCUUUUCCUGUUCAAAGGCUGAUAAGACUGAAAUUAUGAGAGUUACAGGAAGGAAAAUUAAAAAGAAUAGACUGACCAGGCCCUUCUGUCCCUCUACUCUAUCUGUCCCAACAAGUUGUUCCUGCUCCCCCGAGCAUUUCAUUUCUAUUUCUUGUCCUCUCCAGCUCUUCCUUGAGCCUAAAUCUGAACAAGCUCAGCUCCCCAAAAGUUGGAGUUCAUUUAUGGCGUGUUCAAAUCCACCUCUCAAUAACAAAUUCCUGCUUUCUUGGCUCCUCUAAAUUAGCUAAAGUUGACCUCUGUUGUUAGCGAUGGGGGCCCACUACCCCUCCCUUGCCUUUUAGACAAUUUAAAUUUAUCCUCAAGAGAGAGGGGGAAGGGUCAGGGAACAUAUGAGAUUGAACACCCAAGGAUAUGACCUAGUGGUCAAUGAUGUGGGUGCAAACUUUGGAGACCGGUCCUAACAGAGACAAAAAGACACUAGGUGAUUUCUUGGCAUUUGCUCAAGCCUUGUUGGCUGAGUACCCAGUACGGUGGAAGGUAGCUAGUAGCCGGUGAAAUAGUCGAGGUCCCGGCAUGCUUGCCCGAGCUCCACCUUUAUGGAAAAAAAUAUAUGAGAUCAAAACUAUGGCCCCUCCGAGGAGUGUGAAGCAGACAAUUGUACUGGAGUGCUAAUGACGAGAGGUAAAUCAAUGGUGGUGCAUAUAGGGAGACUGUGAUUGUCCUUACAGGAUUAGAGCCUAAUAUAAUUCAAAUGGCAGUAGAAAUUUUUCUUUAAAAGGUUACUGGCUCGCACAAAUUACAGAAAAGUUAUGGGAUGGCUCAGUGUCUUAAGCUUGAUUUGUUGUCCUAGUCAAACUGUUCUUUUCCGAGUCCCAUGCUUUUUUGCUCAGCGACUUAGUAGUAGGCUAGUAGCUUCAUUAUGCUUUUGUUUUGGGGGGAAGCUUAAACGUUGGUUCAUUGCAGAUCUUUCUCCUGGUAUUAAAUUAAGGCUCCUUUUUUCUUUUGCUUUCUCGUGUCCUUAUUUCUAAGCAAAAAUAUUAAAUGGACUUAAGGGAACUAUAUUACAAUGUAAAGUGUGAAAAUUUAUUAAUAGGAGCUGAGUAGCAAUAAUGUUGUUUGUUUCGGACAUCUAAGUUUAGCGACUAUACUUGUAAAUUAAAAACGGUUUUAUAGAGUAUUAUCAAGAUGAGUAAAAUAAAGACUUUAGAAUGCUAAUAUGCAUGUUAACUAAAAACGGUUUUAUAGAGUAUAAUCAAUAUGAGUAAAAUAAAGAUUCCAUACUGCUAACAUGCAUUAAAUCAAGUAUCGAAUACAAAAUUGUUUACCAACUCCAUGAAUGGUAAGACAAAUUAUAAGAACAAUGAACAUGUCUAAUCACUAUUACAAAUAGAAAAUUAUUUUGAAAUCCUCGACCAAUCUAUAAGAAAAUACACUUAAUUUCUUCUGCUCAAAAAGUAAAUUAUAGAAAUUAGAAACUAGUACCAUAUGAGAAUGGAGAAGUAUAAAAAGAUUAUAUACAUGAAGAAUGUAUAUUCCCAAGCUAGUGGUUCAUUCGCUAAAUCUAUCACAGAGGAAAAGGUGGAUGGUUUGUAAACACAGUCCUUUUACCUUUUGGCUAUGCUAUUACUUCAAGUGGUGCCGAGGUUUGCUGUCUCCAGUCUGAAACCAUUUCUCUGUGUAUCCAUGAAGCCUCUUUUAUCUUGUCUUUUGCUCUCUUUUUGAUCAGACAAAUCAUUAAGUUUGAUAAAUACAGUUUUUUUUUUAAAUAGGUAACUUUGUAUUCACACAAAAGAACUCAUCAAAAUCGAUGAGGUGGGAUUUACAGACCCCCAGGGGGUGCCAUCAUACUCAAAUCCAAAAAGACUUUUUUUUGAAAUAGGUAACUUUGUAUUCACACAAAAGACCUCAUCAAAAUCGAUGAGGUGGGAUUUACAGACCCCCAGGGGGUGCCAUCAUACUCAAAUCCAAAAAGACAAAAACUAACUUUACAAUUGGCUUUUAAACUCCACAAGGCUAUCUACUAAAUACAAAAGACUAAGACAUCUCAUCUUGAUCUCCUCUGGGCUGCUAACCUUUCCUUCAAAACAUCUCCCAUUCCUUUCCUUCCAUAGUGUCCACCAUAUGCAAGCAGGGAUAUUUUUCCACCAGUCUUCUUUUGAUCCUCUCUUUCCGAUUCCUUGCCAGUGUGUUAGGACCUCAAAAGUGGUUCUGGGCAUUGUCCAGUUAACCCCAAGUAUACAAACGAACAUGUUCCACAGAUCUGUAGCUAUCUUGCAAUGCAAAAACAAAUGACCAUUUACUUCAGCCUUCUGUCCGCACAUGUAGCACUUUGAACAGAUCUGUAUACCUCUUCUUUGUAGCACUUCAUGGGUGAGACAAGCUCUUCUAAUUACCAACCAAGUGAAACAUGCAACUUUUAAAGGAACCUUAAUUUUCCAGAUUAAUUUCCAAGGCCAAACUGUUGUCAGGAGAUGAUUGGUAUUCCUCUCCCAAUAGCAUGAUUUAACUGUAAAAACCCCUCUGCUAUGCAGUCUCCAAACUGGUUUGUCCGGCUCUGUGACAGUGCCUGGAAACAAGUUUAAAGCAUGCAGUAGGUCUGCUACUCUUCCAACCUCCCAAUCAUUUAGAGCCCUUCUGAACAUAAGGUCCCAACCUUGAGGGGUCCACAUUUGCGCUAUAGUGUCAUUCUGCUGUAGACUGAUAAUGUACAGAUCGGGAAAAAGUAUCCUCAGAUUUACGUCACCUAACCAGGUCUCGUUCCAGAAACUGGUCUUCAAACCAUUCCCCACUCUGAAGGUCACCUUUGCACUGAAAUCAGGCCACAUUCUCCUGAUGGUUUUCCAUACAGAGCACCCAAAAGUGCCAUUCACCUCUUCAGUUAUCCAGUUGCUUUGUAGGUCAUAUUUCUCUGCAAUAAACCUCCUCCAUAAUGCCAUAUCUUCACAACAGAAUCUCCACAACCAUUUUUGCAGCAGACUGGUGUUCUGAGUACUCAACUUCUUCAUGCCCAGACCUCCUUGUGCUUUGCUCAUUGUCACCUCUUCCCAUUUAACCAGGUUGUAUCCUUGCUUCUCUUUAUUUCCUUGCCAGAGGAAGACCCUUCUCAGCUUGUUGAGUUUCUUUCCAAUACUUUUUGGUAGUGGGAAAAGACUUAGCAUAUAAGUCGGAAGUGCAUCCAGAACUGAUUUUAUGAGAGUCAAUCUAUCUCCCAGGGAUAUAUAUCGACUCUUCCACCUUGUCAGCUUCCUUUCACUUCUCUCCAGAACUUCACUCCAUACUUCCAAUUUUUUGUUCUUGGCGCCCAAGGGCAUCCCCAGGUAUUUGGUGGGAAGAGAAGCUACUUGGCAGCCCAGGUUGUCGGCAAGGCCUUGCAUGUCAUUAAAACUCUUCUGCCAGUUCACAUGUAGUCCUGAUAUGCCUUCAAAAAUGGUUAGUAUUGCCCUCAAAUGUCUAAUUUGUGACACUUCGGCACCACAGAACACUAAAGAGUCGUCCGCAUAUAGAAGGUGUGUGACCUCCAUAUUAUUGGCUCUGUUUGUAUGUGCACCAAAACCUCUUAUCCACCCCAUUUCAUUAGCCUUUCUGACCAUGUAGUUGAGUCCCUCCAUUGCUAGGAGAAAUAAGAAAGGAGACAUGGGAUCUCCUUGUCUCAAUCCCCUUUGUGAUUGAAAAAAACCUUCAAGGCUCCCAUUUAUAAUGAUUGAGAACUUCACUGUUGACACGCAAAACUUGAUCCAAUUCACCCAUUUCCUCCCAAACCCCAUUUCACUCAGAACUUUCCAGAGGUAGUUCCAGUUGACAUGGUCAUAUGCCUUCUCUAUAUCCAAUUUGCACAGGAUACCUGGUAUCUUUUGUUUUUCCCUGGAGUCCACCAACUCAUUAGCCAAUAAAGAGGCAUUCAUUAUCUGUCUGUCCUUCAAAAAAGCCAUUUGGUGCUCAUCAAUCAGUCUCCCCAUCACUGUUUUCAUUCUCUCGGUGAUUAGCUUAGCGAUGAUUUUGUACAUUCCACCAAUCAAACUUAUUGGCCUAAAAUCCUUGAGUUCCACAGCUCCGCGCUUCUUGGGGAUUAAUACCACAAUAGUGGCAUUCAAGGAUCUUUCAAACACUUCAUUCUGAUGGAAAUUGUGGAUUGUUUGCAUCACAUCACUCUUUAUGAUCCCCCAACACUCCUUGAAAAAAAGCAUAGUAAAACCAUCUGGACCAGGGGCUUUGUCUCCAUCGCACAAUUUGAUAAUGUGUACCACUUCCUCUUCUGAAAAUGAUCUCUGCAUCCAUUCCUGCUCCUCUUGGCUUAUUCUUGGGCAAUUUGUCAUCACAAAUGAUGGCCUCCAACUUUCUGAUUCAGUGUAUAGCUGCUUGUAGAACUCUGUUAUAUGAUCUUUGAUUUCUUUUGGAUCUUUAUUCUCCUCCCCAUUGAUAAUCAGCCUGUCGAUGGUGUUGCACCUCCUAUGAGCUGUUGCUACUCUUUGAAAGAACUUGGUAUUAUUAUCACCUUGUUUCAGCCAUAACACUCUGGACUUCUGUCUCCAUCUGGACUCUUCAUUCUUCGCUAAUUCUUCUAGCUCGACUAGAACUGUUGCUCUAAUCAUCAUCUCAUCCUCUGUCAGCACCCUAUCAUUCUGGAUCAGAUCCAUCUCAGCUAACUCACUUAACAAGCUGUUCUUCUUGUUGUUAAGUUCCCCGAAAGUUACCCUGCUCCACUCUUUAAGUUUCUGUUUUAGCAUCUUUAGCUUCAUACUGCAUUUGAAAUCUGGGCAUCCUUCCACAACAAAACCAUUCCACCAGUUCUGGACUAGAUCUUUGAAACCUUCUACAUUAAGCCACCAGUUCUCAAAUUUGAAGUAAGCCUUCCUCUGUUCCCAAUCACCACAUUGUAGCAUAACUGGGUUGUGAUCAGAUACAACUCUAGGCAUAAUUUGUUGCCUUAUGUUUCUGAAUUGUACAUCCCACUCAAUUGAAUAGAGAAACCUGUCCAGUCUCGCAGCACUGUAGUGGUAUUUGCAUAGGAUACCUGGUAUCUUUUGUUUUUUCCCUGGAGUCCACCAACUCAUUUGCCAAUAAAGAGGCAUCCAUUAUCUGUCUGUCCUUCAAAAAAGCCAUUUGGUGCUCAUCAAUCAGUCUCCCCAUCACUGUUUUCAUUCUCUCGGUGAUCAGCUUAGCGAUGAUUUUGUACAUUCCACCAAUCAAACUUAUUGGCCUAAAAUCCUUGAGUUCCGCAGCUCCGAGCUUCUUGGGGAUUAAUACCACAAAAGUGGCAUUCAAGGAUCUUUCAAACACUUCAUUCUGAUGGAAAUUGUGGAUUGUUUGCAUCGCAUCGCUCUUUAUGAUCCCCCAACACUCCUUGAAAAAAAGCAUAGUAAAACCAUCUGGACCAGGGGCUUUGUCUCCAUCGCACAAUUUGAGAAUGUGUACCACUUCCUCUUCUGAAAAUGGUCUCUGCAUCCAUUCCUGCUCCUCUUGGCUUAUUCUUGGGCAAUUUGUCAUCACAAAUGAUGGCCUCCAACUUUCUGAUUCAGUGUAUAGCUGCUUGUAGAACUCUGUUAUAUGAUCUUUGAUUUCUUUUGGAUCUUUAUUCUCCUCCCCAUUGAUAAUCAGCCUGUCGAUGGUGUUGCAUCUCCUAUGAGCUGUUGCUACUCUUUGAAAGAACUUGGUAUUAUUAUCACCUUGUUUCAACCACAACACUCUGGACUUCUGUCUCCACCUGGAUUCUUCAUUCUUCGCUAAUUCUUCUAACUCGACUAGAACUGUUGCUCUAAUCAUCAUCUCAUCCUCUGUCAGCACCCUAUCAUUCUGGAUCAGAUCCAUCUCAGCUAGCUCACUUAACAAGCUGUUCUUCUUAUUGUUAAGUUCCCCGAAAGUUACACUGCUCCAAUCUUUAAGUUUCUGUUUUAGCAUCUUUAGCUUCAUACUGAAUUUGAAAUCUGGGCAUCCGUCCACAAUAAAACCAUUCCACCAGUUCUGGACUAGAUCUUUGAAACCUUCUACAUUAAACCACCAGUUCUCAAAUUUGAAGUAUGUCUUUCUCUGUUCCCAAUCACCACAUUGUAGCAUAACUGGAUUGUGAUCAGAUAUAACUCUAGGCAUAAUUUGUUGCCUUAUGUUUCUGAAUUGUACUUCCCACUCAAUUGAAUAGAGAAACCUGUCCAGUCUCGCAGCACUGUCGUGGCCAGCCCCUCUGUACCAGGUAAAGGUCCCACCAUUUAGAUGAGGGUCAUGUAACUCCAUAUCCUCUAUCCAACUCGAGAAAUCAGCCAUUACAUUGGUUAUUCUUCUGCAUCCUCUCCUUUCUGCCAUUGUUCUGACAGUGUUGAAGUCCCCACAGGUGACCCAGGGGCCUCCACAUAGCUCCCUAACUGCUGCAAUUUCUUCCCAGCACUCCAGUUUCUCAGCUCUGGUGUGUGGAGCAUAUACGCCAGUAAGAAACCAACAAAAACCAUCGUGGACAGCUUCAAAUUUGUAAGUGAUUGAGUAUUUGCCUUCCUCCACACAACUACCCAUCCAUACUCUUGAGUCCCACAUAAUUAGUAUCCCCCCACUACUACCAUCAGCUUCAGAAUACCCACAUUUCAUCCAUCUUCUAGCAAAAAAAAUAAAAUUCUCAUUGCUAUCUAAGUCUUUGCACAGCUUUCUGAAAGUAUUCAUAGGGCAUUGAUGUAAGCUGUUUUGAGGUCUUUCGUGUUCCUUGAAUUUGUUUAAAUUUGUCUGAUGUAGUUGUUUAAAAGUUAAGCCAAUUAGUUAAUCAUCACUGUUUUUGCUUAUGCUGUGCAACAGGAUUUGGGCCAACAGGCAGUCAGCUGCAAGAUCAAAGGAAAGGAAAAUGAGAUAUAUAGCAGAGCUUGAGAGAAAAGUUCAGACUCUGCAAACGGAAGCAACUACUUUAUCUACUCAGUUGACCCUAUUGCAGGUGUAUAUCAGUUGCUCUCAUUACCCAGUUAUUGUUUGUGUUCUUUCCACUUUUUAUUUCUGUUAUUGGAAACAUGUUGAGUGUGGUUGAAGUGAUGGAAGUAGAUAAGUGCUUGGUCUAGAAUCUGCAGCAUCUGCUUGCACAUGGAAAAAUGUACAGAUAUAUGUAUCUUCAACCUUUUUCUCAUGUAUAACAUAACACUAUUGGUUUUGAUAUGCUUUUUUUUUCCACAUGAAACAGAGAGAUACAAAUGGCCUGAAUUCUGAAAACAGUGAACUUAAACUGCGUUUACAAACAAUGGAACAACAGGUGCACUUGCAAGAUGGUAAGAAUCUGAGCAUGACUUCUUUUAGUAAACUUUUUGCCCAUAACCACCUUCUCUUUUUAUCUGUCUGAAUAAUGGUUGCCGUUUCUCAAUGGGAGUGUCUUUAGUUCAAGUGUUCGACCAUUCAAGAUGAUUCAAAGUGGAUUCAUUGUCAACCGCAAGUUAAUAUCUGGCUGUAUUUAGGCUUCGUUGGUUUCAAGAAUUUCCUCAAUUUCAGAAGAAAGUAAAAUCAAUUUUGAUAUACUUCAUCAUUUUCAUAUUGGGUGUGGUAUUUGCGUUUUAGUGGUUAAAAAUCAAGUAAUUCUGCCAUAUUCUCAUCUUAUUGUGCAAAAACCGAGACAACAUGAAUUCCAGUUUGACCUUACAAUGUCAAACAUAGUUUGAAUUUGGAUCUGGUUGACGUAGAUAUAGGAAUAUUAUAUAUAGUCCAAAUAAUUUUGAAGUUAGUACUUCUUUUUUGAAUUGUAAUAGUUUGUUGUGGAGGUUAGAUAGUUGCAGAUUUCAGAUGUUAGAACUUCCAAAGCUUUUGUUUCUCAUAACAUUAUCCUGUGGUUAUAGAAGUGAACAUUGAGAAAUUCAUAUUGUUAGUGUCAUGAUUGGCGCCCAUGUCUUAGGUAAUAUUCUGUUUAAUCCGUAAAAGAUCUUGAUAAGUAUCUCAGUGUUGAGAAAUAUGAGGAAGUUAUCAAUAAGGUGGUUAGGAGACACCAAGAGGCUACUAAUCACCCUGUAGGCCCUUGACACCAUAGAAAUUUUCAAUGAUCAUAUUUCAACCAGAACCUUGUUUUUUUGCUCUCCGUGAACAAUUGUAUUUGGGCAGAUAAGAACUUCUACAGUCAGAUUCUGCUUGCAACUCUAUGUGGAUAAUGGAUUUAACACCUGACUAUUGAGUAUCAUAAGCCUAGGAAAAUACUUCCAUGAGAUUGCUAGAGUUGCAUAUGUAAAUUCCUUGGAUAGGAAUUCGUGAAUAAGUAAUUCAUCUCUACCAAUUAUUUGAAGUUUUUUUGUGUAGAGUUGCUAAUAGAUAUUUUGGUCUGUUUCUUCUUCAUAUGUAGCGUUGAAUGAUGCUUUAAAGGAGGAGAUACAGCAUCUGAAAGUGCUAACUGGGCAAGGCAUAGCAAAUGGUGGACCUAUGAUGAACUUCCCAGCAUCCUUUGGAGGCAAUCGGCAGUUCUACUCUAACAACCAGGCAAUGCAUACAUUGUUGGCUGCACAACAACUUCAACAGCUCCAGCUACAUUCUCAUAAGCAACAACACCAGUUUCAGCAACAUCAGCUCCACCAGUUUCAGCAGCAACAGCUGCAGCACCAACAACAGCAACAACAACCUCUUAUGCAGCAGGAUCAACUGUCACAAGCUGGAGAUGUCAUGUCAAGAGGUUCGCUGUCAUCUCCUCAAAAUGACAACGCUUCUGAUGUUAGUUCUGUAGCAAAGGAUUGAAAAGCUGAUGGCCAGAGAGACGAGAGUUGGUGCAUGUUUUAAAAAUCAUCAUGUGUUUUCCCAUCUAGCUCACUUUUGUGUUUCAAAAUCAUCAUGUGUUAAAACAACAUCUAGCUCAGGUUCUUGGUUUCAGUUAGCUCCUUCAUCUGCAUUUUAGUACUCUGUAGGGUCAUUUGACUUUUAGUUGAAAUUGUUCAAAUCCCAUUCUAUGCAUGUCAUUUUGUCAACUAUCAACAUGAUUUGCUUCAUGUUACCAAUAUUGUUGGUGGUAGUUUUUUUGGACAUCAAUCACUUACAUCUCUCUCACACUGUUCACAUAUUACGAAUAUGUUUGAGGCAAUGUCUCUAACCCUGGGUGAUUGUGGAGGGUAAAAUUCUCAUGGUGCUCCUCAAUAGGUAGGACCCUUCCAGUGGUGGAUCCAGAGCGUAAACUAAGGGGUUCAAGGAACUCCAUAACUUUUGCCUAGACCUGUAAAUGUAUUUGUUAAAUAUUUGAUCGUGAACUUAGUUAAUAUUGUAAUCCCCUAUCCCCGUACAUAAUACUGGUUGGUUCCAUCUUAUAACUGUCUCUUCUAAAUCUGUUAUCAUUUCAGAAAAAAAGUUAGAAGUGAUUUUCACUCUCGUCAUCAAGGCUACACUACUUUUUGGGAAUUUAUAUUUGAACACUAAUUAAAAAGUAAUUGACCGCUGGGUGAUCAAACUAUUGACGGCAACAUAUUUUUGGAUCAAAUUAUUAAUUGAGGGUAUUUUUGUUGAAUUUCAUGUAGUUUAGUGACCUUUUAUGAUCAAGAAUCAUAAAUAGCCUAGGCAACAUAACACCCAUUCAAAAGCAUAAAUACUAUGUAUGGGACGAUUGAGGUACAAAAUCAAAGCAUAAAUACUAUGUAUGGGACGAUUGGGGUACAAAAUCAAGAUUUCAAAAGUAUCUAGCUCGCAAUCAUUAUUGGCUAACUGGUCUGCAACUCCAUUUAGCUUCUCAAUAUCUAUAAUCUAAAGAUACCAGUAAUCAUCAAUUAAACCAAUCCCUCCUUUUUCCGAAUUGCCUUUGCAUUAAUGGAUUAGGUAAUUAGUAUUAAUGUUGUCAUUGUUCAUAAUAUUUGCUAUUAUUAGGUCCAACAUGAUUUCUCAUAGGUUUUUCUUGAUUAAUCUAAUUGUUGUAUGAUGUACUAAUCUUUUUCCCAUUUAAUAUCUUUUUUCGCAUAGCUUAUUUCUACUUUAAUUGAUAAAAGGACACUAAGAAGAUGAUUUUUUUUUUAAUUUUUCACUUUUAUAUUAAUUAAAGAGAUUUUAAAAGAAAAAUAACAAGAUAGUUCUUUAAAAAUUAAAUGAUUUCAAAAAGUAUUUAUUAGAAAAAAGAGAGUAUUUUAAUCCAAAAGUAAUGAUAUGAUAUUUUUCGGAACAAAGUAAUGAUAAGCACAUUUUUGGAUCAACUACUAUUAACCAAAAAAAGAAAAUAUCUUCUUUCGAUAAAUAAUAGUAGUCAUAUUUUUUCAUGUAAUUUAGCUAUUCUGAAAAAAGAGAAGUGUGCAUUUGCUUGCCGUCUCUGCUACUCAUUUGAUUCACGACCAAUCAGAGAAAAGAAAAAGGGAAAUAAUCUUGAAUUCUUUUCUCUGAAAAUUCAAAAAAAAAAAAAACUUUAUUUUCCUCUUUUUCUCUUCCAUUUUCACGAUCAUAAUUUCAAACAGAAACAAGACCUGAUCAAACUCGUUGGAGGUAUGUUUUUUUCUUUUCUUCAAUUUCAUCAGCUCAUACUUGUUCUAAAAUUAUUUAACUAUAGUAUGCAAGCUCUCUUAUUUCCUUUACCUAUGUAAUCUAUUUGCAUUUUUAAGAUUUGAACAAACUUUCACUUUUCAAGAAAUAAUCUUACAAUGGCUAUAGAUAUUGAUAUUGUACACAGACAUGUUUAAAGAAUAUGACCGCUAAAUAAUGUAAGACUUAUAUUUUCAAGGGAAAGUAUCUGUAAUAUCCUUAAAUCUCUGCCCCAACCGCCAGCUCUCUCAAUUGUGGUGCUUGUUGAAAUUUCACUAGUUCCACUCUGAGAAGUAUGUUACUGAAAAUGUAAAUUUGAUUCCUGUUGGAUGAAGUUUCAAAAAAAGUUCCUGUCUUUCUUGUAAGGAACAAAAAAAUUGACGACAUGAGGGAUUCAGUGUGAGGAACUCCCACUAAGUCGCCCAUCCUAGGAAAAACGAAUUCACCUCAGGUUCACAUGUUUCCAAAUGGCUUAGAUAUUUCAAGUUAAGUUGAGAUAGUAGUAGCUUACAGAUUAUGAUCAGAUAAGAUGAUACUAUCAGUAUUACGGUUUUGGAGUUUUGAUCACGUUAUUCCAUUUUUUUCAUGAUAUGAUUAUGCACUUGAUAAUGAUGUAUUAGGAAAGUUUAGGCUUGGUCCUAUAGUUUCCGUUAGUAAAGAGAAUUGAUUUCCACCACAAAAUCACUUCAGGGAAUGAAAUUGCGCUCAGAUAAGUGAGUCCAAAUCUGGUUACUUUAUUGGGUGCAUAUACAAGUAUUAAAUUUUAGCAGGGAAACUUUGAAGAGCACCUUUUGUAUUGAACUAGUUUUACAUGGAAAGAAACACCUUGUAACAGACUGCAAUUCUCCUAGACUGCACAUAGCAUGCAACUGAAAUAGUAACAAAUAUUGAAGGCAGGUGGCAGCCUUCAAUAUUCCCAGUGCAGCUUAAGUAUGUUAAAGAAUAUGUAGAAUGCAGUUUGACUGUGAAACCUCUUAGCGUCUUUUCUUAUCAAGAAUGUGAGUGAUAAAGAUUGGAUGACUUAAUGAAAGACUAAUCUAUAGAAAUUUUAACAGAUUUUAAAGCAUGACUGUUAUGGAAAUGAACCGGCAUUCAUGUAGUAGUAAAAACUAGAUAGAGCUAACUCAGAUCUAGUAUCCAUUAUGGUAAAGAAGUUAAAGGAGGACACUACUUGGUUCUGGAAAGAAAGAGUAAUUUCAUCAGAUGGACGUUGGCCUAUGAAUUUAAUGAGACUGUAGAUACUAUUAUGGUAUGUUACUAUAUUAGUUAAUCGACUUAAAUAAAAGAUACUAUUAUGGCUGGAAAAUAGCAUAGAAUCACUGACUGUCUCAUAACUUGAGACUUUGUGGCUAGAAAAUAUCAUGAUGAUGCAGCGGAACCCGUCAAGUAAGUGCGUGAGUGAAAUACGCACAUUGAUCAUCUAUUUUUGUACAGUUUUGGCAUGGCCUAUGGUUUUUACAUCUUUUGUUCCUAAUAGUAGCACUUAUCUCUUAAUAUUUUCACCCUUCUCGAAUUUUUUAUUGAGAAUUGGUAAGUUUAAGGGGACCUAAUCUACAGUAGCUUUACAUUCUAGCAAAUUUGAAAUAAUGUUUUUGGUAUAUCAGUUCUAAUUUAUUUUCAGAAACAACAUCUGGUAAUAAAAUCCUUUGAUCAUAAUCUAAGUUGUUGUCAUACAGAUUGUUUUCAUUGCAUAUGGCCAAUCUUGAUGGAGAUAACGAACCUGAAUGGAUAAAGAGGGUGAAAUCAGAAGGUGCAAUUCCCCUUCUGGACCCAGAUGAUUGCUCAAACGGUUGGGCUUCUCCACCGGGGAAUAGUUUCAUGGUAAGAGGUCCAGAAUACUUUUCAACAAAGGUUAAAGUUCCCGGUGGUGAAUUUCUUCUGAAACCUCUUGGUUUUGACUGGAUAAAAGGUCCUAAAAAAAUUUCUGAUAUUCUAAAUAAUCCAAAACACCGUAUCAGGAUUGCUCUUCAAGAUGAAACUCCAACUGGUUGCAAGCCCUUUAUUUGGGCUUUCAACUUGCAAGUUCCCAGUAAGGAAAAUUUCAGUGCUGUUGCAUAUUUUGUGGGCCUCGAACCUGUCCCUGAAGGGUCUUUGAUGGAGCAGUUCUUGAAAGGCGAUGAUGCAUUUAGAACUAAAAGGCUAAAAUUGAUUGCGAAUAUUGUUAAAGGACCUUGGAUUGUAAGAAAGGCAGUUGGGGAGCAAGCUAUAUGCGUAAUUGGCCGUGCACUGACUUGCAAGUACUGUAUAGCAGACGACUUCAUAGAGGUAGAUGUUGAUAUAGGAUCUUCGGUGAUAGCAAAUGCAAUUGUUCAUCUCGCAUAUAAUUAUUUAUCAACUCUUGCUGUUGAUUUAGCUUUCCUUAUCGAGAGUCAAACUCAAUCAGAACUUCCAGAACGGAUUUUAGGAGCGGUAAGAUUUUCAGAGCUGCAGACCACUUCAGCAACACUAGUUGAAAUGCCAUCCAAUGAGAACAUGGGAGAGUUGCUUCCUUCUUUCCCUUCAAGGUUAUGGAAGUCAUUUGGGCACAGUUUCUCCCACCUUGUUCAGGCAGAUACUCAAGAUGGUAGCUCCAGCUCCAUCCCCUCACUUGUAAAGGGGGAUGUUGAUAAUGGUCUCUCUGAAGAAGGUACCAAAAAAUGGUAAGUGAUCUUAGAAUUUAAGAGCACUUCAUCAAAUGCAUGACCUGAUGAAAGAAGCUGGAAUUUUCCAUCUGUUAGUUUUACUUUUUCCCUGUUUAAGUAUGACUGCAUUUUUUACUUUUUAUAAACACCUACCAUGGUAAAAUGAGUAUCUUUUACAUUGCUAAGCAUGACAACUACAAAAGUUUGGCUCAUCCUGGUUUUAUCCAAAAAUUGCAAAAGCCUGUUUCAUGGUUAAACUUCUAAGUUCUUCAUAAAAAAAGGGUUAAACUUCUGAGUUCAUGUUUUAUUUUACUUUAUACCCUAAAGGCGCGACCUCCAUAACCUCCUAUCUAAGGUCAUGUCCACGGGAAGCUGAAGCAAGACACAAUUUUCCAAGGGCAUGACCUUAGAUAGGAGGUUAUGGAGGUUGUGGAUUAGGGUAGAAGGUUAGUAGGUAGUUGAGCGUUGUCUCGUUUCCUAGCUGGAUAGGCUUGGUGGUAGGUUGGUGCAUUGGACCUGUUUCCCUAUUUAUAGUAGUAGCACUUUUCUCAUAGUUGCAUGUCUUGCGACUUUUGUUACUCCAUAUUAUUUAUUGUGCUUCAGUUAUCACAUUAGUUGGUUAAUGUUAUUGCUCCUCUUUUGAAUGUUAUGGUAUGUUCUCCCUAUUAUUUUCUAUAUCCUCUUUACUUCUGUAUUUUUCUUUUAACUGCUCUAAUGUUCAUUACUCGAGACGAGGGAAGAUGAUAUCCACUUUAUAUUGCUAAGCAUGGCAACUCGUAAAUAAAAGUUCGGAAAAACCUUCUUUGAUCCAAUAUGUUAGCACUAAAAUUAGUCUACUUAGGGGAUGAAGCUCUUUUUUUGGUGGUAUUGGCGGAAAAGGUUACUUCCUUCCCAGGGUUACUAAAAAUAAAGUAAAGAUGACGACUUUGAUUUAAUUCCAUAACAUCGAAAGCUCCCAGUUCAUCCUCUUCCUGAGAAUUUUCCUCCUGUUAAUUAAAGCAUCUUGAAUGGUUGUUAUGAUUGCUUUGAGCAACACUAUUACUUGUUUUAUCUUUUUUCUGAAUUUCCUCGGACUUCUUUCCACCCGUAACCAAUGCACUUUGAAAGUUUCCACUGUAAGUGUGGAUUCUUAAGUUCAUGUCAUCUAUAAAGCUUCAAACUCAUCGCAUUAUGGUUUUAAAAGAUCUUGUAGGGGUCCCUCUGGCCAGCUAUGCAUCCAGAGUAGAUUUUACAUACACUAUCAUUCUUCUCUCUUCUAUUUACCGGUCCACAGAAUGCAUUAAAUCAUUUGAGAUGCUUCCCUCAUACAUAGUGCCAAUGGUUGUAGCAACUGUCUCAUCUCAUGUUUGAAAUGACGCCUAACUCCCAAGUAGAUAAACAAUGAGUUUAAUAGCCAAGUAUAUCUACUUGGCAUUUCUACCUAUUUCAGUGUUGGAUAUCCUUCAUGUAUCAAGUCUCUCGUCCAGUAGUCUACUAUAAAAUCCACAGGAAACGUCAUAAUUUGCUAAAUCUUUCUCAGAAACAUUUAUAUUUACUCAUUGCUUAAACAAAAACAUGCAAGUCGUGUGCUGUUCUUGUUUUUCAAUCUCCAAUGAAAACACAUCGUCAAUAUCCAUGCAAUAUGUCCAUUGCUCUCUUCUUGUUCUUCAUUAGAUGGUUCUCUCUCUCUUUAUAUUCUUCAUUGGACGUUUCAGAGGAAAUGUUACUCAUGUUAUAUGCAUUAAAGAUACUUUUUUUUCUAAUUUUCUAAUAGCUUUAAUGAAUCUGUAUAUCUCCGUUUCCCCUCUGCAUUCUGAAAUUGAGUUUUCGUAGCCAUAGGUUGGACAUAUGCUUAUUGUAUAGUAAACUGAUACUUCUCUUAAUCAUUUGAACUUUGCAGAUCUCCACACUGUAAAUAUGAUGCAUUUCUGAAACGUUCAAUGGCUCCAAGCUUGGAGAAUUCUAAUAUUGGGGUCUCAUAUUGUUGCUUGUGAUGGCUACACUCACCGCUAUUUAUAGCUGUAGAAAUAUGUAUACAUUUCUGGGGGAGAUUUAGCGACAUGGAACUCCAGUAGCAUUCUUCACUAUUAAAUAGCCUCUGCCCAUCUUCUCAUUGCUUUCUGAAAAGAAAAAAAACACUCCCAGUUGCCCAUUCAUUUAUAUUCUUGAUAUUGAUUUUUAUUUAUUUAUAUCAAUUACUUGGUGAUAAUAGGUUACUAAUUUGAAGGGUGUUGAUUGAUUACACAUUAAAGGAAAUGUUUUCACACAGAUUGCAGGUAGGAUAUUUGUUGCAGAUGCUUUAAAUCUUGAUUAUGCAGUUAUUGCAUCUUAAUUUUUAGAUUUUUCUUCAAAUUUCAAGUAUUGAUUGUCUAUUGGAAACAACCUCUUUCCUCCAAGAUAGGGGUAAGGUUUGCGUAUACUAUUCUUCCUACACUCCAUUUAUUGGGUAUAUUGUUGUUAUUGUUCCAUAUUAAUUUGACUGGUAUUGUAUUGUGAUUUGCCAAAGAGAAGUUAUGCAUAUUUUUGCACAAACCUAUCCAACAUCAGCAAAUCCAUGAUCAAAUUUGAAUUUUUUCCAUCAAAAUAACUAAGAUAAAAGGGAGGGUUGAGGAUAUUUUCCUUAAAAAAAAAUAUUUUCUUGCUAAUUUCUUUGUGUUAGAUACGUAAGCAAAUACAUAUCAUCCUAAAAGCAUUCGGUAGAACUUGUUUCAUUUGCUUCCAUUAGGAAUGUUAUUAUCCUCAUUUUUAAGAAACUUGUUUUCCAAAAAUUUCAAUCAACAAAACAUGAGAAAAUUAAAAUAAAAAAUAAAAAAUCAUUUUAACUUGUCAGUUUUCACAUAUCAAGCAAAAGACAAUUCUUUUUUCCCCAUAUUUUACCAUUAACAUUAAUAAAUCAUUUCCAAAAUCUAAUACUAAACAUCAAUUAUUAGGGAUAAUGUAGUACAAUAGUCCUGACAUUUUCUUGAUGGAUAUGUCAAAUCUAAAUAUGACAAGUAGAAGUGAAAGGAGGGAGUAGAAAAUAUCUCCCUCCAUACCGAACACACCCGAUAAGAAAAAGAAAAAGAAAAAGAGAAGACUCUUGAAUACUCUCCCAUGAGGGCAAAGCUGAAAUCUACAUGAUUCAAAACACAGUUUCAACAACAUACCCAUUGUUAUCCCACAAAAUAGGGUCUAGAGACUAUGCAAAUCUUACCACUACCUAAGAGGUAGAGAGGUUUUCAAUAGACCCUCGGUUCAAGAAAAACCCAUCCAAAAUAGUAUAGAGAAAGAAAUAACGAAAAUGAAGACAAUCAUGUCAAAAUACUACAAACAACCUCACAAAUCAUCCUAAACAAUAGUCUUAACAAGAUAUAAUGAUAAUCAAAGUGAAAAAAUCAUAAAUAAUUACCAAACUCGAAGGACAAAGAACUACAAGAGUACGAGGGCUAUUGACACACAGUACAAAGCUUUUGUCUACGACACGAUUCCAACUUGUUCAAAUUUUGGUCAGAGGUUGCAAAACUAUGACCUUCCAAAGGAUCUAAGAAAAACAUUUCCACCUUGUUCUACUCAAUGAAGGUAAAGAAUGCUACCUGACACAAAACUAACCUAAAUAAUAUAGUUGAAUCCUUCAAAGAUUGCAAAUAUGAUCUUCCAAAAGAUUUAAGAAAAACAGUUCCAACUUGUUCACUCAAUGAAGGUACAAGGAUACCACCUGACCAAAAACUAGCUAACAUAAGGUCCUAUUAAGGUUCAAACAUUAACAUUUAUACUAACAACAAUUAACAAAGCUAGUAUAAGGAAAAUAUCUAAGAAAUAGUUCAAAAUACAAGAAGGCGAUCUCGCCCCAAACAAAAAUUUAUACAGUUAAACCAGUGCCUUCUUCUCUUUGAAGGCUAUCUUCGUACUUAACAGGACUCUUUUUCUUGACUAGAUAGUGAAUGUCCCCAUGUUUUCUUUGUUUCCUGUUUCUUUCAUUGGAGGGUAGCACAGUGGUACAUGGUAGAAGCACGGAGCAUGAGAGAGAGAUAAGGGACAGAGGGAGAUCAGUAACUAAGAUUGAAGCUUUGACAGUAUAAACAAAAUCCACGAAUCUACUCUGACAUAAAAUAAGCAUUAUAAUGGAACAGAAAUUGACAACAGUAAAUGUAAUUGUUCAGUAUGUAGCGUAAACAGCAGGACAGAAAUUCUGUUGAGAUUUGCAAAUAUCAUCCUGCUAAAUCAUUUAUAAUGCAUAGAUGGGACACAAAGGCUAAAGCACUUAAUCACAAAAAUUUAGUGUUAAGUGGAAUACAUCAUGGUUCAUCUAUAUUCUAUCAAAUGUAAUAACAACUUUGCGCACCACAAUUACAAAUGACAGUGGUUACCUAAAAAGUUGGUUCAAUUAACAAACAGGUGCUUCGAGAACCAAUGAACAUAUCAUCGGGUAAAUGAUGGUUUUGGAGGUAACUGUGCAUAAUCAACAACUCAUCCAGCAAAUACCAAUACUAGAAUUACGUUGUGAUCCCCAAGUAAGCAGUGAAAUCUUCCAAAAGCUAUACAAGAUCGGCACCAGCAUCUGGUAAUGUACUCAUCCGUAAACUUCUACCAGUUCCAGCUGCGAAAAAACGUACUGAAGGCAGAGAGGGAUCCGUGACAGGUUCAAUCUCAAGAAAGUUCAAAUCAAAUGUACCAGACUUUUUCAAACUGAAAACAAACACAAGCGCAGUCCAUCCCAGCAUUGUAACCGCCCAGUAAUUGUUCAUCCCAUGUAUCAGACCCCAACCAACAGCAUAACCAACAAUAAUUCCCGAUAAAUGUCCAAUAAAACUCGCUUGAGGAACAAUAAUGGAAGUGAAUAUGAGCGACUCAAAUGGCGCAAAGCUGAUGGGAAGUGAAAGAAAACCAAAAAGAUUCAACUUUGACGACGGUUGCUUGACCGAAAGAAUCGUCAUCCAACCAAACACCACACAAGAAUAUCCAACAGCAGUAACUCUCCGAAAAUACUCUAGCUUAAAUUUCUGAAUCAAGAUAUGGUACAUUCCAAUGACAAGUAUGCCCGAAAGAACAACCAACACCAGUGUAUAAUGAAGAUAAUACUGUACUCCAAGACCUAAAUGCCCCAAUUGCUCAACAACUCCAAGACUCCAAAGUGCACUCAUAUUGAAAACAAGAUGAAGCACACUAAUAUGUGAAAAUGCUGAUGUUAUUAUCCUCCAAUAAUGACCUUCCAAAGCAGUUUCAUAACUCAAACCAACAUGUGAAUAACCAAUAUUUGACUUCUGAAUAUAAAACCAAAUUGCACUACAUAUUCCAAUUGCACAACUAGUUGCUGGCUUCUCCAAUAUCUCAUAAAACAAUGGUUUCCCCAUGUGAAGAAACCUUUUACCCCCUCAGCCACUCACAAUUCCUUCUUCAACUUUACUGCUAAAAUGCUUACAAAGACACAACUUCCUCCCCUUUUUUUACCUUCUGGGAAUGCAAUUAAUCAAAUUCAAUACAGAACCUCAGAAAAAUUGAGUCUUGAAACAGAUAUAGAAAACCCCAAAUCAGAAAAUCAAGAAUCUUGCACUUCAGACUAAUUUAUUGAACGUCAAAUCACAUAAACACCCAAAUCAGCAAACCCAACUUCAGAAUUUCUUGAUUGCAAUGUUAUUCAGAUCCAAUAUAACUAAGAUUCAAGAAAUCUUUGCACAAAGAUCAAUCAAGCUAUCAAUUUUCAAUAAAUUUAGAAAAAUUGAUGGUAUCCCAAAUCUAAAAACAACAAGAUUGAAUGUAUGAAUACUUACAGAUUUCUUGAAGAAAUGUUGCUAGAAAAUCAAUGUAAUUAGAAAGAGGGGUUUCAGUUGUUUCGCUUGUGAAGAAGAGUCGAGGCUCCUCUGGAGUGACAUACGCAAAUGGAAAAAUUACAAUUGUGGUCCCUUGUCGGGACUAGUUUGUAUAAGAUAUAAUAAUCUCACGAUAAAAUGUAGAAUCUAUGUUUUGUUGAAGGUAUUUGACAUUUCUAUGAUUAUUUUUUCGCCAUUUACAUUGCAGUGUAUCUCAUAUACAUGGUAGAAUAAUUUAUUUCAAAAGAACUUAUUAUGGGAUAAAUUAAUCUAGUAGAAUAAUUUAUUACGGGAUAAAUUAAUCUCGCGAUAACGUGUUUCCAAUCGAACGAUCCCUAAUGUCCUGUUUAUUUUUAUUCUGACAUCCAUGAAUAUAUAUUUAAAUAUUAAGAUAUUUGAGUGAUAAAGUAUUAAAAUUAUUUAUUUACUUAAUAUGUGAAUAUAUAGUUAGUGUUUGGCCCCAAGUCUCAAAUAUUCUUGGCAAAUCAUAUUUAAGUGAAGUUUUUGGUGAAAUUUCACCAUGUAUUUGGCUUCAAUUUUUUCAAAAAUAUGAUUUAUACCAAUAAGUUCUAAAAAUUAUUUAAAAUACCCAUAAACUUAUAUUACAAUUUUAUAAUGAAUAUAUUUCGUUAAAAAAAUAACAUUAUAAUAUAAUUGGUAAGAAUCAACAAUAACAAAAUAACAAUAUAUGCAAGACAAUACAUUGAUCGCAUACUUCAACUUGUUCAAAUAUAAUUAUAACUCAUUAAACACAAAUUGUUCUUUCUUCUUAAUUUUACCACUCAAAUUAGAAGAACUUUUUCGGAGAAGGUAGUAACCAAUAUUAGUUGGAAUUAAUAAAUAACGUGUAUUUUUAUACGGAAAAGGACCUAAAAUACCCUCGAAGUAUUGGAAAUGGUACAAAACUACCCCUCAUCCACCUAUAGGCUCCAAAAUACCCUUGUCAUCCACUUAUUGGCUUCAAAAUAUCUAUGUCAUCCACCUUUGGGUCCAAAUUUAACCACUUUUUUAACGAAUAUUCAUUGAUUAUUUUAAUUAAUUAAUAAGUAUAAUUUAUAAACCCCCUCAUUACUAAUUAAACUCGUCCCAAUUAAUACACUCACCCCAAAUUAUAAUUACCCACCAAUUAAACAUAACCCUUUCACCAUUCAUUCCCAACACCUGUAUAGAAUCAUUGCUUAAUUACUCAAUUAUGUGUCUCUUCUCUGUAUAUUUUUAGCUAUAUUAGAUUUGACUUAUAUUUCUGUUCAUUUCCCUCAUCAAAGUAAGGUUGAUUAGGUUGUUAGAACAAAAAAUUAAGUCAAAUCUCUUGUCUUGUAUUUCAAACUCUUAAUCGAUCAUUUGUCACAAAAUUGCAGAAUCCAUCAACAUGUAAUGUUGUAAAACAAGAAAAAUUGUUGAUUGUCAUUUCCUACUUACAUUCAAUACUAAUUCAAAGUGCUACAUUUUCGAAAUUUGCACAGAUGGAAACAUUACUAUAACUCAAAUGUUACAAUGCAUUAUAAGAAGGCAAUUUCUUUAUGCAACAUUGACCUCAAUCAGUCCACAACAAGGAAAAUCAAUAAUUAACAGGUGUUGGGGACGAAGGGUGAAGAGUUUUGUUUAAUAGGUGGGCAAUUAUGAUUUGGGGCGAGUGUAUUAAUUGGGACGAGUUUAAUUAGUAAUUAGGGGGUUUAUAAAUUAUACUUAUUAAUCAGUUAAAAUAAUCAAUGGUUGAGCGCUACGUAUUUUAAAAAAUAAUUAAAUAAUUUAAAUGAAUAUUCGUUAAAAAAGUGGUCAAAUUUGGACCCAAAGGUAGAUGACAAGGGUAUUUUGGAGCCAAUAGGUGGAUGAGGGGUAAUUUUAUACCAUUUCCAAUACUUCGAGGGUAUUUUAGGCCAUUUUCCGCUUUUUAUAAAAAUAUAAAAAUUUGGGGUAAUUCUUGAAUUUUUUUGAAAUUUCCAAAUAUUAAAACUUGACCCAAAUACUAGUUUUUUCUAGUAUUUGAGAACUUGAGAUACUUAGCAAAUAUAUUUGCCAAGUUAUAUGACCAAACACCACUUUUCCCCCAAAUUUUCUCCAAGUAUUCUUGAGGCCAAACGGGUUCAUAAUAUUUACGAGCAUUACACUAUUAUUGCAAAAAAAAAAGUCAAAAUAUUUUUAUAAGUUUUCAAAAUUACAAUCACAAAAUACACACACUAUAUUUGUCCAAAGAGAGAGAUUCACCAUAUAUCAUAUAAUAAAAUAUCUCAUUUUUAGAUAGGAGAAAAUUCAUUAGCCUACCAAUCUUUUUUCUCUUUCCUUCUUUCCUUUGGUAAGAUUAUAUUUAUAAGAAUGGUAAUUAAAUCUUUAUGUAUCACUACUAGGAAAGUGGUUGUGUUGUCCUAAUAUGGUAAAUAAAUUAUUUGACAAUCUGUUCAACUUCAUUUCACAUUGCAAUAAUCUUAAAUUGAAAUAAUCCAACAAAAAAAAAAAACUAUAUAAAGCAAGAAAAGGGGAUAGGUAUUUAUACAAAAUAAACAUCUCAUCACAAAUUUGUUUUACACUUUUUUAUCAUGGCAAUGAGAAAGGCAUCCAUCACAUUGCUCUCCAUUGUUUUUAUGGUACUUAUCACAAUAGGUAUAUUUAUGCCUCUUUUAUUUCCUCAUUUAAAUUAAAAUCAUAAAACUUCAUAUACGUUAAUUAUUAUGAUUAAAGUCACAAUUGAAUGGUGAAUAUUUAAUCAGUAAUACAAAAUCAACUUCAUGCUUGCGAUUUUGAAAUAUUAAUUCAUUUUCACAAUAUUAUUCCUAAGAAAAUAUAUUGCAUAUUAAAAUCAUAUUUUGAUUAUUUUCAACAUGUGAUCUAUCAAUAAUACUAUAUGCUAAAACUUUUUUAAUUUUUUUAAUUUUUAGGUUUGCAAAGUGUGGAAAGUUCAUCCUUGAUAGGUGAACCAUGCAAAACAAAUAAGGAUUGUGCUCAAUUUUGUGGUAGUGUGACACCCCUUUGCUAUAAUGGUCACUGCAUUUGUACUAAAACUAAUAGCAAUAAUCAGGCUGGAACUAUUAGAAAAUUUUUACAACAUAAUUAAUUAGGAGUCUAUGAUUAUACACAAAAAUUAUUGUACUAUUUUAAAAAAUUCAUAUGUUAUAAGAAAUAAUAAAGAUUUCCAAUAGUGUGAGAAUUUAAUUUGUCUAUUUUUUCUGUUUUGGAUUUAACUUUUUAUAUCAUGUUCAUCAAGUUAUGAUACUUUUGACUUUCAAAUAUUAUAAAUGAUACUUUAAUAUAUUAACUCGAGAAAAAAGGAAAAAGAUUAUUGAAUUUGUAACACUAACUUUAAAAUUAAAGUGAAAGGACAAAGUUUGGGUAUCAUUUUUUAAAAUAUUAAAGUGAAAGGACACUUGUUUUUCAUCAUUUUUUUUUUUUUUUGAGUUUUUUCUUAAAUAAAAGUAAAACUUGGGGUCAAGGAAUUAUAAUGUUGAAAUUGAACCCUCAUCCAAUAAAAUAAAAGUUCCUAAUAUCUAUUUACCUUUCAAAUUUGGACGAAGAAUUUAAUAAUAAAUUUAUUGACCAUUUUACUCUGAAAUAAAAGAAUAAAAAAAACUUUGAUUUGGACAUGAGACAUAACACUUUUUGAAUCUCUUAUUUGACACCAAAGUUACACAAGUUUCACUAUAUAAUUUUUUGACGGAUAAGAUUCAACUAAAUCCCUUCCACUACAUCAAAUUUUAUGUCUUACCUCAAUUUAAGGUGAGUGUGUACGAUCGAUAUUGAUAUUCUUAACUUGUCAUUAACUCAAGAAAAAAUGAAAAAAAUUAUUGAAUUUGUAACACUAACUUUAAAAUUAAAGUGAAGGAACAAGAUUUGGAUUUGACCUCCUCUAUUCAUUAAACACUUGUUUUUUAUCAAACUUUUUGAGUGAAAAAUAGGGGAAGGGAUUACAAAUCGAAUUCUCAUUUAACAAGGUAAACAAUCUUAAUUUCUAUGUACCUUCAAAUUUCUUACAAAGAAUUUAAUUAAUGGUAAAUUUAUUGACCAUCUUAAACCUAUUAAAACCCUAAAAUAAAAAAAAAAUUAAUUUGGGCAGGAGACAUAACACACUUUUUUAAACCAAAGUUACAAUCUCCCCUCAAUAAGUUUUAAUGGACGAGAUUCAACUAAACCCAUUCGUUACAUGUAUUUUGAAGCUCCGACAAAAUUUGGAUCGCACAUUGCAGGGCUCAUUCGAGAGAUAACUCUCCCAACAUAAUAUUUUUCAUACCCAAAACUCGAAUCUAAGACCUCAAUAUUUUUUAUAAAUACUCACUAUUUAUUCACCCUGUAUGUACAAUAGGAGAGUCUGGCCCCAAUAAUUGUUAGCUAGGGGUACUAGCACAACUUACAUCAAAUGGUUCUUUGGCCAAUUUAAGGUUACAACUCUCUUUGGGCAACUUCUAUGAAUAACAAGUUGAUUUCCCAUAUGGUCCUUUUCGCCAAGUUGAUUUCACAUACGAUCAUUCAAGUCACAUCUUAAUAAAAUAAAUUAGAAUUUUAAAAAAAAAAAAGUGACGUUCUGAGAUAAUAACUAUUAAUUGAGUAAUCAUAUAAAAAAUCAACCCCCGUUUCACCAUAAUAAAUGUCAUAUGCCUUCAAUUAGGCUAAUAAUAUGUAUAAAUUGUAGGUAUUAUGUUAGCCUAGACAAAUCAAACUAUGUAAUAUAUAGUACUAUUUAUAAUUUGGUAUACAUAUAGUUUUUUCAAAUAACACUUUCCAUUACAUUUCUAAUAUAGGAACCUUUUUCAAGUGUUCUAACAAGUGAGAUUAUCCCCAGUAUCUACACCAAGUUGGUGGCAAUACUGAACAUAAUGUUGAACCCUUCUAGCAACAGGCUGAGGAAGGGCACCAUCACACUCAAGAGGACCAUUAAUAGCUCGAAUCGUAGCCCCGAAACCUUGGCCAGAAGUUAAGAGAGGAUGGCAAGUGUUCAUCCAGUACCAUAAGGCAGUUUUGAAUGAUAUUAAACUAUCUCUAGACACAAUAUCGGGGUCGUUAAGGCCAUCGAAUCCAAUGUCUUUUCCAGCCGGACCAUAGUUGAAGUUCCAUGAUAGUUGGAUUGGUCCUCUACCAUAAUAAUUUUGCCCAGAGACACAAGGGUACUCUGACUUUCUCAUGUCACAAUAGUCCCUAGAUGAACCAUUUAUCUCAUUUAUGUAACACAUUUCUGCAUAAUGUCAAAAAAUAAAUAAACUAUAGUGUUAGGUGUGGAAAUGUUGCUAGAAGCGCGGGCACAUGUAACAGGUUAGGUCGAACUCAGUAGCUUUUGCUCAAAUAACGUUAUAUAAAAUGAAACAUAUAAUAAGAUGGCUUAUAAUUGACAAGACAUAUCACAUGAAGAAUCCAAGAAAAUAAUAUUUUUUUAAAAAACAAAGAUAGAUACUAAAAUUAAGCAUAUGAUAAAAUUUUAAGAAAAAUGACUUACGUCCAGUCUCAUGUGUGACAUGAGCAAAGAAAGCAGCAAUUUCACGCUUAUUAUCAUCAUCAGAAAAAUCAGUCGUUGCGAAUUCAGGAUAAGACUUUAAAGCUUCAAGAAACACAGAUCUUGCGUAAAAUCCUUUGCCUUCACAAUUUGAAGAAGUUUGAUUUGCAAUUCCAUUGAAAAAAGAUUCACUAACAAUAUCAGAAACUCUAUUGUUAUUAUUAUUAUUAUUAUGAUUGUAAUUUUUUGUCGAAGAAGUAUAACAAGGCCCUCCUUGACAACCUUGUCCACAAUAAGCUUUUCCGCUGCCACAAUAACCCCAUCUACUGCAACACAAUCCUUCUGUACAUCCACAAUAUUGUGUUGACGCUAAUUUUGGAAUUACAACUAUAGCUACAGUACAUAUUAAUAACAAAAUCAACAAAUUUCUUGAAGAAAAAAUAAUCAUUUUUUUUUAAAUUUGGAGAGGAUAAAAGAAACUUGUUGUUUGAUGGUACUAAAUGAUAUAAUAAGUAUUUAUAGAAGAAAAAAAAGUUGAAUUAUUGUUUAAGAUUCAGCAAUUUUAGUGUUGGAGGAUUUUAGGUAUAGGUACGUUUCAUUUUUUUAUUAUUUUGGGUGUUGUAAUAAAUUAGGAAGGAUAUGGUUAUGUCAUAACUCAUAAGGUCCUAGCUUAUUAAUUAAAAAGAUCACUUGAUCACAAGAAAUCCUUGAAGCUUUUGAUAAUUGCAAAGACUUUGAAGUUUUUAAGAGUUUGUGAAAUUAUGAGAAGAGUCAAACUCGAGACUUUUGAUUAAUGAUAAAGGAAUAUUUACUACAUAAUAAAAAAUUAUCUUUAGUGACAAUUAAUUAAUGGAUAAUUUAAUAACUGUUAAAUAUGUAUUUUCGCCGCAAUUAGCUAGAACUUUUUGCAAAUGCCCCUAAAGCCUUUAGCGACAUUGGAUUCAAUGACAAAUAACUAAUGUCAAUCGUAAAGGUUUUAAACACUCUUUAUUAAUAUGUAUAUUUAUUGCUGCUAAAAACUACGUAAUCCUUAUUGAUAAAAUAAGAAAUGUUGACUAUAUUACAAUUGAUGAAAAUGAUCUAUAAUGUAAAAACACUAGUCACUAAGCUUGGAACUAAAGCAAUUGAAUUUAGCCUGGGCAGGCAAUUAUUUCAUAGGUAAAUUCUGAUUGUUCUCUUUUGAAGCUAAGUUAAUUUCAAUGAUUCCAUGUUAUGCCAUUAACAAAGUGCUUUUUUUUUUUAUUUCUCCAAAUGUCUUCCAACUUUCACAUGAUUAAAGUCCUGACUGAUACUCAAAACUUAAAUUCAAUUUUUUUAUUAAUAAUGGAUGAAAUAUAUUCUAUUUGUUUCAUCACAAUCCUCGUUGGUAUUAGCAAGGUGUCUUGAUAUAUUGUGAAGACUUGUAGAGGGACUACUUUAAUAAAAGUAAAUAUUAGUGGGCUUUACUGAACUUCCACGCAACGAUCAUAGAAUUUGCCUCAAAUCAUUUAAAGCAAUAGCAUUAUCCUUCUCUUUCUUUCAACUUUUCUGGUCAAAACAUCCAGAUAUUGUUUCUUUUCUUGUCAUUUUAAUUUUAACUUGUUUUAAAGAAAAUUGUUAUUUUCUAUAUUUAUAUUUAGUAGCUCUUUAGACCUUAGUCCUAAUAUUUGGAGGUGACAAAAUUAGCUUAUGAAAUCAUAAAUCGCAUAUGAAAUUAACUUAUAUUUUCAUUUAUUAGCUCAAUUCAUUUCAAUACAUCAAAAUUUAUUGAUAUCUAGCAUAAAUUGAUUUAAAGAAAAAUAAUAAUUUUAUUAGGUUCUAAAAACAAAUUAAAAUUAUAAAUUAAGCAAUUAAAACUUAGUUAUUAUGUAUGUUGAAUCAUGAUCCGCUUUUUAACUCAUUCAAUCCAAGUAACUAUUGGCCCGUCUAUUUAUUAAUUCAGACCAUUUUGAAUUACACAAAUCUAGUUUAACUCGCUCAUUUUACACCUAUACCAACAUGCCACAUACAUAUUUAAAAUCAUAAGACUAAGGAUAUUUUGACUCAUGGAACACAUCUUUAAUAUAAAAUCAAAAGAUUCAAAAGUCUUCUUUGCUUCUUAAUUAUACUUCGGUAGUUUAAUUCAACUCGGAGACAAAAAGUUAAAUACACUAAUAAAUAGUGAGAUGAUCAAAAACCCACCUAAAAUAUUUCAUUUUUUAAAGUUUUAUACCCAAACUUUCAAGUGUUUAAAUUUCCUACUUAAAUCAUCACCAAUUAUCGAAACACACCUCAACUAUCAAUUGUUCACUUUUCCUAGUUAAAAUACCAACCAGACCUCAUGACUGAUCUCCUAAUUCAUACAUGCAAAGGGCUAUGCAACUGGCAUCCACUAAAAUUAAAUGAAAACACACCAAACAAUGUGCCUAUUUCAUGACAAAAUUUCUUCAAAUGUUCCAUAACCCAACAAGCUCUUUAGAAAGUUUGACUAAUUUAGAUGUGAAUAAUCAAAUUGAGUAAAAACACCUCCUUUCUUCAUUCUAUGCAGUUGGAGUUGUAAUGCAGUUUCAGACUUGUCGCCCCAAACGGACGGGGUUCAAAUCCUACAACUCUAUCCUAGAAACAAAAUGGGGGAAAUGAACCAAAGGACUAAAGUUCAUGUAGAGGCUUUAGCAGCAGCAGAUUUCUUUUUCGAAAUAUCCAUCUUUUUGUCAGAAUCAGUAGCCUUCCUCUUGUCCUUCCUCUCCCUCUUCUUUAGUGCAGUCAACCGGGCCUUCAGCAAAAUUGCAUAAGAUGCUUGGAAACGCUGGUGAUCUUUUGCACCAACCUGUUAGUCCAAUGAAAUCAAGUGCAUCAUUAGCCACAAGAAGUGAAAUGAUGCAUCAAAACAUAAAAUAAUAAUCAUAUAAACUACUAAAGCAACAAGCAAGACAUAAAUGCAAAUAAGAUGACACCGCCCAUAAGGUGCCUGUUUUAUAGAUGAUUGGUUUUCCUUUCGUGGAGAACAAUAUUUUGGUUUACAUUCUCUUUUUUUUUUUUUGGUAUAUGGCUUGUAUUGUGGGAUUUCUCCAAUCAUUAAUGAAAAUAAUUACCUUAUCAAAAAGAGCAACAAGCAAGACAUGAAUACAAAUAAGAUGAAGAAAAUAAAGACAACUAAGGUAAAGAAAAUUCAAGUUGGUGUUCUUGUCUCCAUUAUAGGAUGAGGAGAGGCAUUCAAGAAGGAAAACGAGGGAGGGCUAGCUAGCAGACAUACCAGAAAAAGUUCUAUACUAAAGGGAUGUUCACAUUCUUAGACACAUGACGGGAUGUAUCAGCCCAAACUUCAUGCCAUGUGUACCAAGUGAAAAAUCUUGUCACUUUCUAAAUUUCAAGAAGUAACAAAUCAAACAGUAUUUGCAUGUGCAGGUGAGCGAAAUUCAGAAAAGAAGUGUGCAACUUGCAAAUGCUGAAAGGGCUAGCUAGCAGACAUACCAGACAAAGUUCUACAUUUAAGGGACAUUUCACAUUCUUAGACACAUGACGGGAUGUUUCAGCCCAAACUUCAUGCAAUGUGUACCAUGUGCAAAAUCUUGUCAAUUUCUCAAUUUCAAGAAUAACAAAUCAAAGAGUAUUUGCAUGUGCAGGCGAGCGAAAUUCAGAACAAACGUGUGCAACUCGCAAAUGCUGAAAGGGAUAGCUAACAGAUAUACCAGACAAAGUUCUAUAUUAAAGGGGCGUUCACAUUCUUACACACGUGACAGGCUAAAAAACUUCAUGUCAUGUGUACCAUGUGGAAAACCUUCUCAAUUUCUCGAUUUCAAGAAGGAACAAAUCAAAGAAUAUUUGAAUGUGCAGGUAAGCAAAAUUCAGAACAAAAGUGUGCAACUCGCAAAUGCUGAAAGGGCUAACCAACAGACAUACCAGACAAAGUUCUAUAUUAAAGGGAGGUUCACAUUCUUAAAGACACGUGAUGGGCUGUUUCAGCCCAAACUUCAUGCCAUGUGUACCAUGUAGAAAACCUUGUCAAUUUCUCAAUUUCAAGAAGUAACAAAUCAAAGGAGUAUUUGCAUGUGCAGGUGAGCAAAAUUCAGAACAAAAAGUGUGCAACUCGCAAAUGCUGAAAGGGCUAGCUAGCAGACAUACCAAACAAAGUUCUAUAUUAAAGGGACGUUCACAUUUUUAGACACAUGACGGGCAGUUUCAGCCCAAACUUCAUGCCAUGUGUACCAUGUGGAAAACCUUGUCAAUUUCUCAAUUUCAAGAAGUAGCAAAUCAAAGAGUAUUUGCAUGUGCAAGGUGAGAAAAAUUCAGAACAAAAGUGUGCAAGUGCAACUAGCAAAUGCUUUCAGCGCUACAAAUAUACUUUAUGAUGAGUUGAAAGUGCCACAUGAAAUUUACAGCAGGAACACCUAAUCAGUACCUUCUAGAGAGAUAAAAAUACAACUGGCUCAUCAAGGACAAACCUAAACAAACCCAACAUGUGCACUGAAGAGACGAACUAAACUACAACUUCCAUGCUAUUUUUAGCCGUAAAGGCUUGACACACUUGACAAUGUUUAUAUUUUGGGAAGUUGAUGAUCUUAACCAUGUCUUUUUAGAAUGGUUAAGUUGUAUUCUUCAGCAUUAAGGACAUGUUGGCAACCUCCAAAAAGUUAUAGGAUCCAAACAAACAAGCAGAAGGAAAUUACAGUAAUUACAAAGAUCCUAAAAAGUCUACUAACUGUUCUGCUAUUUCUAGACCCUUUAUUUACACCAAAAAUACAAAAUAUUCAUACAAUUUUCUUUGAUUUUCUAGAUUGGGUUAGAGAUAUCAUCAAAGCAUCUGUUGUUUCUUCUCUCUAUACUGACCACUAUAUGCAAUAUGGUAUUAUCUUCCACUAUUUCUUCUGAUUCUUGUUCCCUCCCUCCACUCCUCAUGCAUCAGCUAUGUAGGUCAGCAAUGUGUUCAGGCCUUACCCAAUUUGCUUGAGAUAUACUUGGAAACACAGACCAGAUCUGUGAUACAAUAUUCCAACGAAGAAACAGAUGAUUAUUAGUUUCCUCAUUCUCCUUGCCAAAAAAACAUCUGGAUACUAUUUGAAAGUCCCUCCUAUCCAAUUUUUCAUCAGUGAGACAUCCUCUUCUGCUCACCAACCAAGUGAAACAUUUCACCUUGUUUGGGACACUGCACUUCCAAAUCUGUUUCCAAGGACCUUGUAUGCCCCUUCCCCCCUGGUUUCUCCACCACUUCAUUUCUCUAGAGUCUUCUUACUGAGAACUAGUCAUCACUAUCAUGCUUCCACCUCAUUGUGUCUGAUCCUGUAGAUAAACCUAAGAAACCACUAAGCACUUGUAGUAACUCAACAAAUCUACCCACUUCUCGAUCAUUCAAGUGCCUUCUGAAUGUGAGAUUCCACCCUUGAGGGGACCGAGUGUCAACUAUUGAUGCUUCAGAGUUGCUACAGAAUGAGAACAGUUCCGGAAAUGAGCUCAUCAAAGGCUCAUGUCCAAUCCAUUUAUCUCACUGAAAAAGGAUCUAGGUGUCAUUCCCCACACUACAGUCUAUAUUCCCAGCCAACAUAGACCAUAAGUUCCAAAUUGUCCUCCACACGGACACCCAUAGGUGCCAGAUACUAUAUUAGAACACCAAUAGUCACUCUGCCCAUAUCUGUUUAUAAUUACUUCCUUCCAGAGUGCAAGAUCCUCACCAACAAACCUCCAUUUUGUCGAUAAGCAUCUGUUCUGAAGCCCCAGAUUACUAAUACCAAGUCAACCAUAUUAGCUGAGCAGUUUGCCAUUUCACUACGUGAAUACCUCUGCCCUCCUUAUUACCCAACCAUAGAAACUCCCCAACUUGUCUAGUCUAUCCUCCACCUGAAGGCAUUGGAAAUAAGGGCAUGACAUAUGUUGGCAAUGAAUCCAAUAUUGAGUUGAUAAGAGUACUACUUCCUCCAAGAGAUAAACACUGGGCUUUCCAAUUGGCUAGUUUUUUCAAGUGUUAGCAAAGGCGAAAAGCGCAAAAAAGCUCUAAGGUCCAUUGGGGCUUUAAGCGCAAAUAAAGCGUGGGCUUUAAUGAAAAAAGGCACAAAGGGAGAAAAAAAUACAAAUAUAUAUGCUUAGUCCAAGACUAAUAAUUAUAAUCAUGAAUAACAAACAUACUACCAAAGAAAUUGAAAAAAAAUUAUGAUAAAGUGAAAUAUCAAUUGUUUAGUGUCACCUCUUCGGCAGAAGCUCAUUGGCAAGGAAAAAUAUGUCUUAGAACACUGGUGACAAACACUGAAGACAUAAAGCGAGGCGAAGCUCUCAACACCAUUUGAGCCUCGUUGCUAGUUUUUUCAACAAUCUCAUCCCAAAAUUUCUAGCUCCUUAUGAUUGUUUCCAAAGGGCAGCCCCAAGUAAGUUGUUGGGAAUUUCUCAAUUUUACAACUCAAGAUAUUGGACUGAUGACUUAUAUGCGUCCAACACAAGUCAAUGGACUAGGUCCCUUGACAUAGUAAGAACAAUGCACAAAUAAAAAACUUAAAAUAAUGAAAACAUAAUGUUUACGUGUAAACCCCCUUGCUUAAGAGAGGAGAAAGCCACAACCCGUCUUGCAGGAUUUCGCCAAUUCUAUUACUUCAAAGAGUUAAGAUUCAGAUUGCAAACUCUUGCAACCUAGGAAUUAAACACUUAAUCCCUUCCCCCUUUGUAACAGCCCUGUUACUCAGAAACAAAGUAAUACCUCUAUUGCCUACUACACCAACAAGCUUAGUUAAUGUAGACUUCAAGAACACGACAUAGCUAACUCUAGCUACAACUUAAACUUUAACAACGAUUACAACCGAAAUGAUCUGAUUCCUUUAUAACAUAUGAAUAGAUCUUACACUGUAUAAACGCGAGACAAUAAACUCAUAUAACAACUAAAGAGAACAGUAGAUCACUCGAUCAGGUCUCUUGCUGCAUAUGAGAGUAUUUCUUUGAGAGUGGAUUUUGCCGUGUGGAAUUCUUCAAUUCAAAAACUAGGUAACGUCCCUUGACAAGAUGACUAUUAUAAGAUGGACAAACUACCUAGUGCAACGCCAUUGGCUGAGAGUACUAUUCCUCUGAAGAGGCGCACCAACCAUUGCAGUUGUGGCAGCAGUUGCAGCUUUACAACUGUCCUUUUCACAUUGCCUGAAACUCCCAGUCUCUCAUGGGAUCAGGUCCCCUACUAGAUGUCAUAGUUUGUUAAAUCAUCAAAACUUCACAAUACAACAUGGACAGACUUUGAAUUUGUGGAACUUCUUUAUCAGGGAAAGUACUACUUUUCCUCCAAUUUUACAGAUGGGACCAAAAAUUGCCUCAAAGAUCACCAAAAUCAUUCUGAUGUACAUGAUCUGAUCUGCUUUAGCAUCUCAGAAAACAACGAUAUCAUCAGCAAUAAUGAAAGGUAAAUCUACAUCUCUUCCCCUGCUUGAUUGCCUAUCCUGAAACCUUUUAUCCAACUGUUCUGAAUAGUUCCCCUCAUCAUACUACUGAAACCUUCCAUAGCUAAUAUGAAAAGGAAAAGAGAGGGGGAUCUCCUGGAGUCCUCUCUCUCUCAAGGAAAAUUCCAGCAAAUUCUCCUAUGACUAGAAUUCAGAACCUGACAGUUUUGAUACAAAAACCAUCCACUUUAACCAUCUUCCACCAAAACCCAUUUUUUUAAGAAGGUUGAGGAGUAACUCCCAGUUGACAUGAUCAUAAUGGGCUAUCUAUAGCUAGGUUUCACAUGAUCCCUGGAUCUUCACCUUUGAGUCUAGAAUCCACACAGUCACUGACUAAAAGAGUUGCAUCCAUAAUUUGUUUGCCUUUUAUGAAAAAUGGUCCCUUUAGGUGCCCUAAUAUUGUAUUACAAGCAAAUACGUUAACUAUUAGUUAUCAAUCAAGUAAAAAAGGACCACAACUAUCAUUCUCUAUGCACCACAAGGCUACCAUCCUUUUUUAGAAUUUGAUGCUCUCAAUCUCAAAGAUACAGGCCAGGACCUAGAGUCUAUCUAUAUUUGCACGUUUAAACUUAUGCUAAAAAAUAAUUCAUACAACAAACUACCACUCUCAAUGUUCCACAGAACAUACUGCCCAACAAAGCAAAAAAGGGGAAAACGGCAAAACUUGCAAAAAGAAGGCGCAGCCACAAUUCAACCAACAAGACUAAGCAAUGAAAAAAAUAAGAAACUUUCUACUGUGAUUACCAUUGUGGAAAUAUUCUUUUUCCCAUCAGUUGCUCGGAUGAGGCACUUAAAUUCAAGAUUUUCACCAGCUGUCUUCAUCUUAUUCCGUUGGGCUUUAGAUUUAUCAGAAGCUGUGGAUACAAAGGACAAGAAUUCUCAAUCAGUAUUUCAAUCUACAGCUCAUAAAGAGAUUACAAAGCACAAAAUACUGGAAAACCAAUGAAGAGGCAAACUCACAGUGUUUGAGCGUAACCCAAACGGAACCAUGUUCAGUAGUUCGCUCAAACAUACUCGUCAGUUCAUUGAGGAAUGGGUCUGGCUGUAAUCGCACCUGAAAAAUCCAAUUCAGAUUAAUAAUUGUCAACUUAUGUUCUACCAAAAAGAUGGAUAAAGCCGCUCCUUUCAAACUUCCUAAAAUAAGCAAAAUGCCAUAUAAUUUUGUAUCCACAAAUAGGAAGGACAUUGAGCUCCACCGUGUGAUUAUUUGACAUAACCAAUGUGAGUUCGCAUUGUCAGUCACACCCGAAUAAAGGAGGAAGGGAAUAUCAAUAUGUAGAGUUAAGACAAUUCAUGUAAUUAUGCUUAUUUCUACUCUGGCUAUCAAUCCAUAUAAUUCUUCCGAAGUAAAAACAUCAGAUUCAACAAAUUCUCUAACCCUACACAUGAAAUUCAUUGCUAAAUACUCUCUUAGGCACGCAUUACAUGGGAAAGGGUUCCAUCACCCCCAACUAGUUAAUUCAAUCGAUAAGCACCAUUUAAACUGGUAUCAACUAAUUUCCACAAUUCAAUAUACUGGGAUUCGGGAUACAAUACAUAAACAUUCAAGAAUGCAAAGAAUCUAACAUGAAUUUUAUAAUCUACAGAAAUCCAUAAUCUGAAAAAGAAAAUAUAGCAAAUUGGGAUCAAAUAAAGCUCUAAACGGCGUAAACAAGAGAAAUUAACAUCAGAAAAUUCUUUAUACAAUACAUUGUUUGAUUUCCAGAUUUGAUUCGAAAGAUCAAUUGAUUUUGAUGAGUUGAAGUUAGGGCUUACCAUCUUUGAAGCCAAAACUCAAAACAGCAGCAAAACCCAAAAGCCAAGACUCGAACACAGCGAUGAAGAGGAAGCGAUGGGUUUAUAUGGGUCAAAGAAACGUCAAGGGGAAAAUAUGAAUAAAAGUGUGUAUUAUUAUUUAAUGCUCAAAAAUAUCAUUUUUCCAAAUAAAUUUUUUUUUUCUCCAAAUAAAUUCAUAUUUCUUUUCUCUCUAAAUAUAUUCUUUUCCUAAGGAUGAUUUUUUUUAAUUUGUAAAUGUUUAUCUUACUUCAAUUCGAGAAAAAAAAUGAAGAAACAAAAUAUUUUAUAUUUUAUUAAAAUCUUUAUUGUUAUCUAAAUGAAAGAUUAAUGAUGAGAUUAUUGUAUCUUUUUAAAAAAAAUGGUCAUGUAUCAUUAGUUAAAAAGGUACCUGAGGUUUUUCUAUUUUAAUUAAAAUUAGAUUAAGAAGAAAAACAUAUUAUUUCCUACUUGUUUGUUGGUUAUCGUGAUUUUAAAAUAAAAGAAAUAAGAGUAGAUUUCUUUAAAAGUAAUAUUUGUAUUAGGAACAAAAUAUGUUCAUAUAUAUAUUAAGUAGUAGUAAGUACCAUAUUUAUUAGCGAAAAGAGAUAUUUCUUACUCUUUAAAUAACAACAUGGAUUGGACCUACUAUCAACUAAUGACAUUUUUAUUCGACUUCAUUUUUAUUUAUCGAUAGUCAAAUUAUGUAUACUUUGACCAAUAUUUUAACAUGUCUUCUUUUGAAUCAUAUUAAUCUAUAUUAAUUCUACAAUAUAUGAAAUAGUUAUUUACUAUUUUUCUCAAAUUAUUGUUUAAUUAUAUUUAUAAUAUUGACUAGACUCUUUGUGUACAUUGAAAAAGGUAGGAAAAUUAAUGUAAACUUGUAUAUUAUAAUAAAAUGAUAAACUAUAUGAAAAGGAGAAUUAAUGUCGACAGAUUCUUUUUUAUUUCCUUUCCCUAAUAUUCUCAAUGUCCUGGUUAGAAAUAUGGGGGAAAUUUUCAUACAUAUGGGUGUAUUUGGUACAAGUAAAAUAGUUUUCAAUUUUUUUUUAUGUUUGAUUGAUCAAAAUGUCAGUAAAACAUCAAUCUAGAAAAAUAAACUCCUUAAAAAUGAGGAAAAUGACUUUCUAAUAAAAAUAGGGAAAACAAGUUGCAUAAAUGACGUUUCAAGUUUAUUGUCUCCUCCUCUCCCAACUCUCACCCCUUACUAUCCAACCCCACCAUCCACAUUCCCCAUCCUUACCUGCCUUCAGAACGUUUUGUUAGAUAACAUAUAAAUGCUUUUGGGAUAACAUUUUCUUGCUUACUUACCAAACACUAAAAAAUAAUACUUUCGAAGAAAAUAUUUUCUAAGAAUUAACCAAACACACUAUAUAGUACUUGAAAACUUUUUCUAUUUGUCGUUUAAGUUCAUAUAGCACAAAGUUCAAUUAUAGAAUCUGUUAGAUAACAAUGAAGAAAGUAACGCCUAUAUUGGAAAGAACAAUUCUUUCCUAACUUCGUAAGCUCGUUCGCUUCUUUGAUCAUGGAGUGUGCAACCAAGAUAUUAACAACCUGUUGCAUCGUAUUACUAUAAAUAUUUUGUUUCAAAUCAAUACACUUCUUGCACAAAUCAUAAGCAAAAUCAGGAUCAUCCUUCUUACGAGCCAGAGGUUUGAGGUUCAAAUCUCCUUCGUCUUUGUUAGGUAGCUCUUUACUCCUCAAAUGUGGACUCUAUGCCACAAAUUUGAUUUAGUCCAGCUCCAAUAUGGGUACCAGACACCGGGUAGGAAAUAAAAAAAAAGUAGGGUUGGACAUUAAAUACAAAAAUCAAAAUAUUGAAUCGAACCAAAAAUUUUGAAAAUUUGGUAUUCGGUACUCGGGAGUAAGAUUUUAGAAUUAUGGUAUUUAGAUUUGAAUUUGGUAUGAGACAUUAGUACCAUUUGGUAUUCGGUAUUUCCCGAAUACCAAUUAUUUACUUAAUAAAGGUCAUAUAUCAACAGACUCAUUAUUCAUUAGUACAAGACCAUAGAAAAAAUUAAAGACUAAACAUAAACAACUCAAAUACAUAUGUAUUUUAGUUGUCACUUUUUUUAUUUUUUUUUAUUUUAUGUUUUCUUACUUGUUGAUCUUCUAUUAUAUCGUGCCUUCACAUAGAAAAAUAUAGAAAUAAUUGGAGCAACAGUAUUAACUUUGUAGUAUAAUCGCCUAAAACUUUAAUACAGUAUUACCAAACACCAUAUCGGGUCGAAGUUUGAUUUAUCGAUUACCAAACCAAAAUUUAAAAGGUCGAUAUUUGGUGUCUAUUUUUAACUACCAAAUACUGAAUUAUCCCGAAUCAAAUAUUGAAAGCCUACCCCUAGUAUUAAGUCUUAUAAAAUGGUUUGGAGAAUAACAAUUAAUACCAAGUAUAAAACAUAAAAAAAUAAGUACAUCUUUUCUUAAUAUGUUACAAAUAACAAGUAAAAGUGAAAAUUUAUUUUUUAGAAUAAUAGACAAGUAAAAUGAAUAAUGGAGUACUAUUUUAAGAAAAUAACCUCUUAAAAAUGGAGGAAUUUAAUUUAAGUCAUUAAUUUGAGACAUUUAAAAAGAAAAGAAUAUUGCAAUUAUUUUUGGGGGCUCACCUUAAAUAUCUAAGUCCUGAGGAGCUCAUUUGAGUACUCCUCUUCCUCUUUUUUUUGGUACAUAAUUUAAUUCUUUUUAAUUUCUAUGCAAAAUAAGAUACAGGAAAAAAAAAGAAGAAGAAGAAAGAUGAAUGUGUUGGGAAUUUUGAAAAUAAGAGUUCGUAGAGGGAUUAAUCUUGCUAUUAGGGAUUCUUUUUGUAGUGAUCCCUAUGUUGUCAUCACCAUGGGUGGUCAGGUUCGUUAUUUAUCGUCCUUGAAGAGUUUACGUUUUAUAUAUUAAAAAAUAUAUAUAUUUAUAUUAUCGGAUCAUUUUAAAAAGUUGUUAUAAAUAAUAUUGAUUAAUAACUUGAUAUUAAUGAUGAGAAUAAUUUUUUAUUUACCUUUCACAACAAAAAUCAUAUCCUUUUUAGAAAACUGUUCACGUGAUUGACUAUCUAGACUUUUACGUUAUUGAUGAGAAUUUAUUUUCUAUGAAUUUUAUAGAAAUCAAAGACUCGAGUUAUCAAAGAGAACUGCAAUCCUGUGUGGAAUGAGGAAUUGAGCCUUGCACUCUAUGAUCCCAACCUUCCUAUUACCUUAGUAAGUCUCAAAUUUUGUAUAUAUAAUUUGAGAUUUUAUUUCAUUUUAUAAAAUAAGGAUACAAUAUAUUGAACAUUAAACAUUGUUGGAUUGUGUGUUCAAUUCGUCCAAAAGUUUAAUUGUUAAAAAAAGAGAAGUACAUAUCUACCUAUUUAUCACAACAGUUAUUGAUCAAACACAAUUGCUUCUCAUCAAAAGUAAUUUUUUGAAAAAUACUUUCAAAACAAGUUGAUUUUAGAAGUUUGACCAAAUAGACUACAAAUAUCUCUCUGGCCUUAAUUAAACUUGGUUCAAUGAAUAUAUAGCUUAUAUAUAUCACUGCUAGAAAAUGAGAAAUUAGCAAUAGAUAAAAUUUUGUAAUUAAAGAGAAAAAAAUUCAUGCUAAUUUCAUUUAGCUACGGAUUAGCGACAAAUUCUGUAUUUUCUUGUAGUGUAUAUUGGUUGGCUAAUUUUUUUUAAUUUUUUUUUGUAGACAGUGUAUGAUAAAGAUACAUUCACAGCAGAUGACAAAAUGGGAAAUGCAAAUAUAGACAUAAAACCAUAUCUUGAUGCUAUAAACAUGGGAUUAGAAGGUCUCCCAGAUGGUGUGAAAGUAGAUAGGGUUCAACCAAACAGAGAAAAUUGCUUGUCUGAUGAAAGUUGCAUAUUAUGGGAAAAUGGAAAAAUGACACAAAAGAUGCUUCUUAGAUUGCAAAAUGUAGAGUGUGGUGAAAUUGAGAUUCAAAUCGAAUUGAUUAGUGCUCAUGGUAAAAGAGGUCGUCUCUACAUCUGAGAUGCCAUAGAUAUAUAAUCAUUUUUGACAUAUAUUAUCGAUGAAAUUACACUAAAUAUGUGUUAUCGUUGUCAUAUUGUAUUGAAUUGAUGUUGGAGCAUCAUGUAAAAUGGUGAUUGUUGUACUUUGUAAAUUUCAUGCAAGUAUCACAAUACAUGUUGGUUAUUAAUGAAAGACUUGUUUUUUUAGGAGGUGAAGUACUCUUUUUUUUCGUUAAGCUUUUAUAAGUUUGAACAAAAUAAUUUAUUUUAAAAAAGAAAUAAAUCAAUUUUGCAAUAGCUGUAAAUUAUUAACUUUUUGGUGUUUGAUUGAAAAGUGAAGUUUUGGUAAAGAAGUCUUUAAUUAUUUUUUUAAUGAAACUUUUCUGCGAAUAAUUGUCAAUGUCGAAAAUCAAAGUGCUUAAAUAAGAUAAUAAAUGAGGGACCAAACGAUGCACAAUUAAGUGGUGGUGAAAAUUAUAAUUUGUAGGAAUAACAUUUAUCUUUAAGUUUUAUAGCUUUGAAUUAAGGUAAACUUUUAAAAACAGCAAAUAUUAGGCACUCUAUAGCUAUAGUUUGCUUAAUUACAAAUAAUAGCAAAAUGUUAGGGGAGGAGUGAGACGAGCGAGAUCUGGGAGAGAGAGGAGAGAGCGUAUUUUUCCGCGAAUUUUGGAGAAAAAACACAAAUACAAACUGAUUUGUAUCAAAAUGCAUACUCCCUUCGUUUCACAAAGAAUGACCUGAUUUGACUUGGCACGGAGUUUAAGUAAAUAAAGAAGACUUUUGAAUCUUAUGGUCCUAAAUUAAAGUUAUGUCAAAUGUACAAAAUUGCCCUUAAUCUUGUGGUCUUAAACAUGCCACGUGGAAAGCAAAAAGUAAAAUGUUACCAAAAAAGGAAAGAGGUCAUUCUUUUUGAAACUGACUAAAAAGGAAAGGAGGUCAUUCUUUGUGAAACGGAGGGAGUACAUAUUAAGAGGAGAGAGGCGAGUGAAAUCGGGAGAGAGACGAGCGAAAUCGAGAGAGGGAGGAGAGAGACGAGCAAAAUCCAAAAAGAAAGGAGAGAGUUGAGCAAAUUUUGUAUCCUAAAAUUACAUUUACUAAUUAUUAUAAUUUAAAUAUAUUUUUACACAUAAAUUUAUAUUCCAUAUUAUUAUUAUUUUUGAUAACUAUAUUCCAUAUUAUUUAAGAUUAUGAAUUUUGUAUCCUAAAAUUACAUACAUCAUGCUUUUGAUUGUUAUAAAAGUUUAAGUCUGCUAAUUACUUCAAUGAAAUUGAAAUUUGAAUAACAAUAGAAUAAAAAUUAACGAUCAAUGAAAAUAAAAAGAUAAUGAUAUCCUUACUAUUCUUUUUAAAGCACAAGUUCAUAAUGCUAAAAUAUUUUAAUAGAGUUAAUAUAGAGUCCAAAUAUAAACUAAAAAAAUUUCACGCAAUUUGGUAAAGUGAAUAUGGCUUUUUUUUUUUUUUCUAUUUCCCAUCCGGUGUUCGGAGCCCACAUUAGAGCUCUGAUUAAAUUCGGAUCGCGCAUUGCAGGGCUCAUUCAGGGGCGGCGCUCCCAACAAGAUUUUCUCUAUACCCAGGGCUCGAAUCCGAGACCUCUGGUUAAGGGUGAAACACUCCCACGAAUGCACCACAAUCCAUGUUGGUGAAUAUGACUUUUACCAUCAAAUGAUGUAAGGAAGGAAUAAAAGGUCUCAAAGUCGAGUUGUAGAUAUGAAAAAAACCUUAAUAAAAAGUGUUUUCCUCAAAUGAAGUGACAUACAACACAAAUUCUAAUCGGACUUCAAUACCGAUACAGAGACCAUUAUAAAAAAUAAAUAAAAGAAGUCAAACCUUUAAUUUGUCUUUUAUUAAAAAAAUAAAAUAGUUAGGUUUAGAAUAGGGACCUCAAUUUAAGGUUAUAUUUUUGCAAUUUUUAAUUAUACUAAGAGUAUUUGAUAUUUUCAUUUAUCUUUACUUGAAUUUUCAGUCUCUCUUCCAGCCGCCAUUAAAACCAGCACUUGCAAACUCCAAUUUCUCUUCUCCGGCAAUGGCGUCUAUCACCGCAAAUCAUCCAAUUUCCGGUAACCCAUUAAUCUCAUUCCGUCCCAAAAACCCUUUUCUUCAAACCCAAACUCUCUUCAAUUUCAAACCAUCAAACCCCAAACACUCCAAUUCCUCAUUUUCCAUUCCCAUUGUCCGCUGCUCAAUACGCCGUCGACCGGAAUAUACUCCGAAUCACAUUCCCGAUCCAAACUACGUCCGCAUAUUCGACACCACUCUCCGUGAUGGCGAACAAUCACCAGGGGCUACAAUGACUACAAAGGAGAAACUGGAUGUUGCACGUCAGUUAGCUAAGCUUGGUGUCGAUAUAAUUGAGGCUGGUUUUCCUGCUUCUUCUGAAGCUGAUCUUGAGGCUGUAAAAUUGAUAGCUAAGGAAGUUGGGAAUGGUGUUUAUGAAGAGGGACAUGUUCCGGUUAUUUGUGGAUUGGCGAGGUGUAAUAAGAAGGAUAUUGAUAAGGCGUGGGAGGCUGUGAAGUAUGCUAAGAAACCGAGGAUUCAUACGUUUAUUGCUACAAGUGAGAUACAUAUGAAUUAUAAGCUGAAAAUGAGUAGAGUUCAAGUUGUUGAGAAAGCUAGGAGUAUGGUGGCUUAUGCAAGGAGUAUUGGGUGUGAGGAUGUUGAAUUUAGCCCUGAAGAUGCUGGAAGGUUUGGACUUUACACCUACACUUUUGAACCUUCCAAAAUUAUUGACACCAUUUCAUUUCUAUACAUUUUUACAACUUUCAAAAAUGUAAAGUUAUUCAAAAUUUGAACUUUGAUGUGAGAAUUACUUUAGUAGACUAAACUCUUUACCAUCACUUUGCUAUUUUUUCAUUUUCAGUAGUUUAAUAUAAAAUUGAUGAUAUAAUAUUUAAGUUAAUUAGCAUCUAAACUUUUCGUUCCCCUAUCACAUACCAUUAUAUACUUGCUUUGAGCUAUCAUCAUUGCUAGAAUUGUUGAUUCUGGGACUUUUUCUUGUAUGGAGAUAAUUAUUGAGUUUAGGCUAUCCACAAAGUUGCCAAUCGGGGACUAAGGAAUAAAUUGGACUUAUUUCCCUGUUUCUUUUUUGGAUUAGUCAUGCUCGUUAUGGUCAUAUAUGUUGAACAGAUAGUUGUAUGCUUAGAUAGUGUUAGAUAAAUUCAGAUGUUUAUUUUAAAGUGACUCGUAAUUUAGCUGGCGAAUGAUCCUGAAGAAUUCUGAAAAGUUUCUGGAGAAAAUUUCAUCACGAGUCUGUUGACCCCAAACUUGUUUUAUUAAACACACAUGUUUAUGGCAUUCUUUUUAACAAGCGCGUGGGAGACCUUGAAAUUAUUUGACUCUUUUCCCUUUCAACGGAACACUUAAAAGAUAAUAAGACCUUGUGUACUGUAAUAUGCCUUUUCCUAUCAAGGAGUUCUCUGGUAUGAUGCUUUGAGAUCUCAAAGAAGAGGGUUAAGCUACCAAGUUUUAUUCUGUUGCCAUGUAUAAAAGUUUGUAGACUAGCUCAGUGAUUAGAAUCGACAAUGGGAACCACUUUCAUGCAUUGUGCUAACUGGGAUCCGUUCUUUUUGCUGAUCUGAGCCUUGUUUUCCUGUUUAUUUGCACUACCUCCUUGGUACUAGCUUUAAUAAUAUUAAUUUACUUUAUAAAAAAAAAAAACCUUAUUUCCUUUUUUUUCCUUCUCAGAUCUGAUCCAGAGUUUCUUUAUCAUAUCCUUGGAGAGGUUAUCAAAGCUGGGGCAACAACCCUUAACAUCCCUGAUACUGUUGGAUACACUGUACCCGAAGAAUUUGGACAAUUGAUUGCUAAAAUAAAAGCCAAUACCCCAGGAGUUGAAGAUGUGAUCAUUUCAACACACUGCCAGAACGAUCUUGGGCUUUCUACUGCCAACACCUUAGCUGUAUGUGGUUCAAUGUUGAUGAGAACCUAGUUGUUUAUGCCAACUUAAGUUGUAUGCACAUUAAAGCGUGUCCAAUUUCAGGGAGCAUGUGCAGGUGCAAGACAAUUGGAAGUGACCAUCAAUGGAAUUGGUGAAAGAGCUGGAAAUGCUUCUUUAGAGGAGGUGUGUGAGGGCUUUUCACUGAGAAAUUUCAGUUCUCUUAUGUGCAUGAUUUGGGCUCCAAAAUUUGAGGGGUGGAAUCACUAAUUAAACAACCUUGACUAUGAAUUCCCCUCUGUUCUUUCCUUGACAAAAAGUUAGGUCUUCAAAGAAAUUUCCAAUAAUCUCGCAAGGCAUUCUCCGCACAAAAGGAACCAUUCCACCUCUUCCUAGACUAAAUUAACAUCUUGAAUUUAGACUGAUACUAGAGUAGAAAUUUUGUGGUACGUACUAUUAUUCUUUUGCAAAACAAUUGUUGCAAACAUGCAACCAUAUUUUGCCAUUUUGGUCUUUGGAGCCAAUUUCUGCCAUUGGUUGUGUUAUGUGCUGCUAAAACUGACAAACUACUGACGUGUAUGGGACUCCUUUUUCCUCUGUGGUACUUGUUUCUCUUUGGUUUUCAUCUUGGGCAUGUCGGGCCUUAAUUUUCUAACCUUUUACCAUGUCCAAUGCUGGAAUAGGUUGUAAUGGCCUUAAAGUGUCGUGGAGAGCAAGUACUAGGUGGCCUAUAUACAGGGAUUAAUACACAACAUAUACUCAUGUCAAGCAAGAUGGUUUGUACCCUACUAUCUCAUAGUAUGGUGAUCUUUUACUGGUUAAUAUUCUUCCAGUAUGCAUUCUGCUGACCCUUUAUCGUGCAGGUAGAGGAGUACUCGGGACUUCAUGUGCAGCCACACAAGGCCAUUGUUGGAGCUAAUGCCUUUGCUCAUGAAAGUGGCAUCCAUCAGGUUUGUGUAAUUUGCUUUAAUUUAUUGUUGAAAGAAACAAUUCCUGAUAGAGGCAAAUCUUCUUAUUAGUUCAUGGACAUCUUUUCUUUCCAACGAUCAACCAAGUUACUGAUGGAAUGGUGUUCCAAGUUCCCUGAUUUCCUUCCCCAGACCUCAUAAAUUCCAGCUUAACGGCAGCUCUUCUGUAGUCCUGAGAAAGAGGCUCUAGCUCUAUGAGUUGAAGGAGCAAUGAAGAAAUAAAUGGUUGAGUCGUCACUUCGCUUUCAACGAAGGCAAACCAACUACAUAUGUUGAAACUCCUUUUCUGAAUAUUUUCAUGUUUAAGACAAGGUUCUUUUGUCAUCAACCAAGAAAAACAAUCGAUUUUUCAGAGGUUCCCUAUUUUCCCAAAUGCAUUUCCAAGGCCAAUUUUCAAUGACAGCGGGAUUUAUCUCUGAUAACAGGAUUUGACCGUGAAAACUCCUUCAGAAUCAUAUUUUCACUUUAGAGAAUCAGACCGGAGUUGAAGGGUGGGGGGUGGUCCUAUGGUGUCUGAGAAGCAAAGAGCACAGCUAUCCAAUUCCCAAUCAUUAAUAUUGCACUUGAAUCUGAUGUUCCAGCCUUUUUCACUCCUGUAGUCUGACAUAGAUGCUUCAGAAUUUGGCGCCAUCGUGAAUAAUGUUGGGUAUUGGUUUUUUGGAGGUUAUUGCACAAGUCAAAUAUCUGUCCAAGACCUUACUUUCCGCCAUUUUCAAUUACAGUUGAGGUCUUGGAUAGAUAGAGUCCCACCGUGCACUCAUAUGCCUCCAUACACCACAUGAAUUAGGAAAUUAUGGAUGUUUCGUAAUCCAUGGGUUGGAAAGUCCGUAUUUAACCGUAAUAACAUCUCUCCAUAAAGCUCCCUCCUCCCUAUUAAACCUCUAGAGCCAUUUGUGUUGCAAAAAGAUACUAUGAACCCUCAGAAAGUUGUUCCCCAUGCCCCCAGCCUUUUUGUCAGUAGAAACCAUAUCCCUUUUUGAAAGACUUGUUUUGUCUAUUCCUUGUCACAGAAAACCCCUUUACACAAUAUUGAUUAGUACUAGCCUACCUCCUAAUGAGUGAUGUUUUCUCUUUCAGCAUGAUAACUUCCUUUUGCAGUUUUCCUUCCAUCCCAGAUUGUAGUGGCUUUAGACUUUGACCCCAAAGAAAGGCCAAAGGCCUAAUUAUUUAAUGGGAAAAGAGCCUACUUCACAACCCAAGGUGUCAGCUAUUUCUAUAAGUUGAUCAUUUCGUUCACCGGACAAAAAACACUCUUUGUAUAAUUAACUUGAAGACCAUAAUUCGCUUUAAAGAACAAAAGUACCAUACGAAGAUGUAUGAUCUGAUCAUUUCAGUUUUGCAAAAAAAAGAGUGAUCAUCUGCAUAGAAAAGGUAGGUGAGAUGCAGAUUUCCUUGAUUUCUCAGACUUGGGUUAAUGCCCUUUAUCUUGUCAUGUAGUUUUGCUAUUGACAACAUUCUUCUUAGACCUUACAUAACCAAGGUAAAAGGAAAAGAAGAAAGCGAAUUUCCUUGUCUAGAACCUUUUGGUGAAGCAAAAAAUUCUUUAGGUGAUCCAUUUAUGAUAAUGGACGACAUGACAAUGGAGAUGCAAAAGUGGAUCCACUCGAUCUAUUUAUUGCCGGAGCUCAUGGAUUUUAACAUGUUGACAAGGAUAGGGCUAUGUUGCUCGGACUCUUCAAAAAUGUCUACGGGUGCAUGUCGG
This 46953-nucleotide long non-coding RNA is filed under the name Solanum tuberosum (potato). RNAcentral's name for it is "long non-coding RNA (STUB_LNC006543)". The record is from RNAcentral. Lineage: Eukaryota; Viridiplantae; Streptophyta; Magnoliopsida; Solanales; Solanaceae.